CAAUGUUGUUGACUGGACGUCAUGUUUGCAGUGUUUUUCUUGCGGGUGUUUUCUUGUUAUUGCUUAGUUGUAGAUUCAGCCAUGGUGUUGAGAGUGAUAUAAACUGCCUGAAAAGUAUAAGAGCAGCAUUGGAGGACCCUCUAGACAUGUUAAGCUCUUCAUGGGAUCUCUUUUAACAAUGCCACUGAAGGUGUCAUCUGUAACUUUCUGGGAGUGGAGUGUUGGCACCCUCAUGAGAGCAAAGUUUCAGAACAAGAAUUAUAUAUUGCAGCUAAUCUUAUGGCAGUUUUGGGAGGUUAGGAAGCACAGGUGUGAGAGAGUAAUGAAUCAUGCUAAACCGAAUCCUGCCUAUGCUAUAGAGAAGAUCAAUCGGAACUUAAAUGAGUGGUCUCGACUCAAGAGUGUGUCAGGAACCCCGUUGCCACCCCUUCUGACUCGGAUUGCAGGAACUGGCACCCUCCUCCCUUUUGGUCUCAAAGGUUAAUGUGGAUGGUGCCUGUGACUCUAAGAGAAAGCGGAGUGGCAUUGGUGUGGUCAUCCGUAACCAUCAGGGUUCUUGUGUUGCUGAAGCUAGCAUUUGUGGGAUUCGUAACUCAGCUAUUGAGUUUGAAGCUGAUAUCCCCUGGAGUCUCUCUUUUGUGCUGUACUGUUGUUUUUUGUUCUUUCUGGUGUUUUUCUUCCCUUGUAUGUGUUUUUUUUUUCCUCUUAAUGAAAUAUUAUUUCAGACCGAAAGAACAAAACCAUAUUGUUAUAGCUCCCAUCAUCAUUUGAUAUAUAUAUAUAUAUAUAUAGUCUGGAUGUGAAGCGGACGUCCGCACUCGGCUUAAAGUGCGCACGUCCGUCCGUUCUCCACCCUCCGGCGCCGGCGACGGCGCGCCUCCACCCCAGAACACUCCAGCAGCGUCUCCGACCACUUUCCCUCCCCGGCAAGUCCGUUCUUUUCCAGUUUUCCGGCGAGAUCACCCAAAACUUCAAACAAGAUCAAUCUCGCUGAAAACUAAAAAGAACGGACUCGCCGGGGAGGGAAGGUGGUCGGGGAGUGUUAUGGGGUGGAUGCGCGCCGUCGUCGGCGCCGGAGGGUGGAGAACGGACAGACGUCCGCACUUUAAGCCGAGUGCGGACGUCCGCUUCNNNNNNNNNNNNNNNNNNNNNNNNNNNNNNNNNNNNNNNNNNNUACUAUAUAUAUAUAUAUAUAUAUAUAUAUUUGGUUUUCUAUGGAUUCUCCAAAAACAUAGACUAAUCUUAUAUAAGGAGUUCAAGACAUCUCUUCACUACCAGCUAGUCUUAAUUCAUAUAAUCUGGCAAACGAAAAAGCACAACAAACUAGUUCAUUGACAACAUGGUACGUAAACAAAAUUGCAGCACAAAAUUCCCUUUCUAAGAAACAAAGUGAUACACCUGGAUUGCAUUAGCCAGGCGAGUCCAAGCUAAAUGAACAAUGCUGAUAAGUGAAAAAUUGAAAAUAGACAUAACUAGCUCAAAAUCUGACGUAUUAUAGGAUCAAUCAGUAUUGGGGAAUUAAGAAUUCACACAUAUCCACCUAAGAAUGCAGAAACAAACACAAGAAGAAAGAUCAUAUACAUGAUGACAUGCACAACCAAAUACAUCAUGAAGAGAAGGAAACAGAAGAGCCCCUUUGGAAAUUAAUCUCAUAAUGAAAGAUUCUUUUCCCUGAUACAUGGCGAUCACGAUGAGUAUUGCACUCCAUAACCUUAUUCAUUUCUUUGUCCGCAGCUUACUUGCUGCUCAAGGUAUUUACUCCAUAAUUUCUUCCUCAUCUUCAUCAGAGAAACGACUCGAUGUUUUUUCUUUUCUUCUAAAAACUACUACUACUACCCCUUUCAGGCUUGUUGCUUGGAAGGAUGAUGAUCAAUAGCUUAUGAGUAGAAUUUGUAGGUCUUGGCUUGAACUAUGAUUGAUCUCAGCCCUCCAAUUGGUGACAGAACCAUCAAAAGAACACCAAAGAAUAUGCAGAUCUGAAAUUAUCAAGUCAAAAUAAGAUCAACUCAAAUAUCUGCAAUCAAAAGGAAGUAAAAUGCAUGUUUAAGAAUCAUAAAAGUAUAUAAAGAUUAACCAAACUGAACAUACAUAGUUGCAGCACCAGGAUAAGCUGAACCUCCUUGGUUUGUAGAUGGCAAGCCACAUUACACAAGGGAGCUGAAAAUAAUAACAUGUUCAUUAGACAUGUGAAAACGAAAAUCAGAACAUCAAUUCAUUAGAAUGUAAUGGAACAGAUUGUGAGCUUACAAAAUAUGUUGUUGGGGCAAAAGCAAAUCCUCCGAAAAAUCCAAGGAGACCACUAAAGAAUGGGAAUGUUAUUCCAACAAACAUGGUAAUUGCUGCAAGGAAAUGUCAAUUUUAAUCCAUCAGUUUAUAUCCAGCUUGAUCUCGAAGCAAUAGCAUAAACUUGAUGAGAUUAAGGUCAGCAGUAACUUACCAACAUAUGAAGUUCGUGUAACAAAACGAAGCAUAAAAGUUGGCCUGAAAUCCAACUUCUUUACCAGUAGAGUCUCCAUCAUGUCAAACACUGGCAUUGCAUAAAUCUGCAGCAGAGAUCAUAGAGUCAGACUAAAUGUUUGAGAACAGAAAAUGAAAUUUAGAAAUCUAGGCAAUAUGAUCCUCGAUCGGUCCAUCACCUGAUAGCUUCCAAUAACAUGGAUGACAACAAACAUGUUGGCCGUUGCAAUAAGCCAUUUGGGUUUUUCCAAUGAGACGAGGAUGUUGUCCUCAACUGAAUUUCCAUAAAUGUAAUAUCCCACCAGAGCAACUGGGAAGUAGCACAAAGCCACAAUUAUGUAGGCAACAAUGACUCCUUUCCACAUGGGUACCUUGGAAGGCUUCUCAGGUGUAGAAGGAAUUGUUGCUUGGAUUUCAAGGACUACAUUAUGGCCAGCAUACGCAAAAGCCACUUCACCCAAUGCAGCUAAGAAGUUGAAGAAAUUUCCAGUAGUAGUCUUGGCUUUGUAACUAUAAUCGACAUUUUCUACCGUACCCUUGUCUAGUGCAGCAGUCCAUGCUAUGGUAGAGUAACUGCACAAACAUGCAUCACAAUCCAAGACGUUAAUGAAUCAAUCACAUACACAAUAACAUAACUUGGAAAUAGAAAGCUAAUGGAGUUGAAGACUAGCACAAAUGUCUCACCUCAAGGACAUGACAGCUGCGGCCAAAGACACGCCGGAGAUGGAGUUGAAGUUGGGAAGGUGGGAAAGCACAAAGUGCACAGACGCAAAGAUCAUGAUGAAGUAAGUCAAUUUGAUAUUUUUGCAGUCUGAGCACACAGUGUCAUGGACCUUUUGCAGCGAUUUUCCUCCGGUGACCAUGUACACAAUGCAAACACCAACUUCAACAAUGAGUUGCUGAGGCACCACUAUGUAAAGACCAAGCUUUUCACCAAAUGCAUGUUGACCCAACUCGUGGUAACGAUCAAAACGUUUCCCUGGAACCAUCUCAUGCAUCUCAACCAUUUGCCAUAGUGUGUACAAUGUGAUGAUCCAUGAAAGGAUCAAAAUAGUUAUACCAGGACCCCUGAAUUACAUAAUGAGAUGAAUCCAGUUACAUUAGUUACUAUAAGCUAGUGUUAAAUUUGCUGCUUAACUGGAAUAUAGAAUAGUUGACAUACCAUCCAAGCUCUGCCAUGGCAUAAGGGAGACCGAGAACACCAGCUCCAACCAUGGCCGUGACAUUGUGAAAAGCCGAAUACCACCAUUUUGCAUUCCUUGAUGAAGUAAUCGGAAGCCAAUCGUUAAUUGCCUUUUCCUUGGCUAACUUCUCGUCGAGCUAUCAUGAAAAAUUGAACGCAGUUUAGUACAUAAACUCAGUUGUGUUGAAUAUGCUUUCAUGAACAAUAUAUGCACACCAAAUCGAUCACUUCAAAAUUUACAAAUCAAACGCCAGUAGCUAUAGCAUAGGAGACUUGGAGGGAGGGUAGAAGUGAUAAUUUAGGGACUUUGGAGGGUCUUUUGGGAAUUCUAGCUGAGUUCAGUGAAUCUUGGGAUAUUGGUAUCCCCAAAUUUGGGGAAUGGAAUCAAACGUCAGUUGUCUAUUUGUAAUGUCUUAUUAGCUUUCUGGGCCCAUAUUUCAUAAUGGCCCAGUACUUGUGGAGCCCAUCAACGUGUUCAUACUAAAUAUUUUUUUGUUCUUCUGUGAUAUUUUUUUGAACGUUGAUUUUUUUUUUUCAAUUUUGGCCUAAUUUUAGAUUAUUAUUAGAAGUACGUGCCAUACAUAAUUUCAAACCUAAUCUUCUUAAAAUUAUAGUGACAACUAGCUAGAUAGUGUUAAAAGAAAUCUAAUGCUGCCAACGAAGCCACGUAUUGGUGUAGGAAAUACUAAAAUGCAAGUAGGAAUAGUCAAUGUGUGCUCUACAUUGGACUUGAAGGAUCUUAGUUUGAAAAUAAUAUCUUUCAGGAUUUCGUUUAUGUACUCAAAGAUGAAACAAAAAUGACAAGAAAUGAUGUCUAGAGUGUAAAUUAUAGAAAGUUUGUCUUAUAAGAAACAAAUGAGAUUUACUGGUUUUAGGAUUGCAGUAUGGUAAGCUAAUCAACAUCUAACAUGUUAAGGUUAUGGAUUCAAACCUCACCGACGUAUGUAGGGUGCGUGAGUUUAUAAUAAAAAUAAAUAAAAAAUAAAAAAUUGCAACAUGGUAAAAAUGCUAUCAUGUAUAAGAUCAACGUACGUUUUAAGUUAAUUAUAGAGAACUGUCUCUUUCUAUGAAAUGUGAAGAUGAGAAACAAAAUGAAGUAUAUAUCAGUCAAUUCCAUCGAGAUGGGAAGAGUUGGCUUGAAAAAUCAAGGUGAGAACAAAGGUGCCGUAAGCCAUAGGAUAGUUAGAACAACCAAACCGGAAGACACUCAUGAGCUCCAGAACUCGAUCAGAUUCCGAGCAUACGUCAAGACUUAAAAAUUAAGCUAAUACAAAAUGGGCAAUGAAAAAUUCUCAUAUCAUUCUUUUUGAAAUAUAACAUAUGCAAACCUAUAGCUCAUGAUCAGAUGAUCACCCCAAUGUAAACAAGAUCAUCACAGCAUCAUUUUCUGAAAGUUUCAGAUAGGGGGAUGGAGAAAAGGACACUAACCUCUGUCUGGUUGUAAGUAUUAUCGACAUCGUUCGGAGCUUGAGUUCCCAUGGCGACACACUCAGGAUUUGAAGAGAGAGGAGUAGAUGGAUAUAUGCAGCAGUAGCUGAUGAUAAGUGAAGACCGAUAUAUGGAGCUCUCUGGCUACUCUCUCUCUCUCACUCCAGCACAGAAAAUGAGGAGGGUGCUCUACGCUAUAUAAAUAGACCAGCUCUCUUAAAACUAAGAGAUUUUAAGUCUUCAAACUCAUCAGCUUCGUCCUUUUGUCGUGUGAAAGAGGAGAGUUGGAGUCAUUCGAAUUCCUGCUGAACGCUUUUUUUGUUUGACUUUCCAAAAUAACAAAGGAAAACACCUUUUUUUUUUCUUCCUUUCAAAGGCUGAAGUUUCCAGGCAACGACGUCGUUGUGGCCUGGCGUCUAGCUAGCUAAUUUAUGUUACAAGUUUCCGGUUUUGAAUAUAUGCUAUGUAUUCAAGUAUAUUAGUCUACGACUAUAUAUUAAUAAAAUACGUGUUACAUACCCAUAGAUAUAACGGACAUAUGGAGAGCGAGAGGCCUAUCCAGAUCCUUGUUUAGAUUCAAACUACAUCCCAUGUAUGUAGUUUUGAUGGCAAUGAUUCCUCACGAGCGAGAGGCUAGCUAGGUCAUAUCACUCAUAUGUUAAUGUAAGUUUUCACAAUUAAUAUGAGUAUAUGACGCGUUUUGGAGAAAGUUAGUUACCACUUAUAUUUCAAAUACUUAAACCCAGUGAUCUAUUACGUAAUUACCUAGUUUUCUUAUAUAAGAAGUAGAAAAAAUCAUAUAUGUAUAGCACUUGCAAUACGAGUGAAUUAGAAACCUUACUACCUAAUUAACCCUAGCUAGAAGCCUAAAACACCGUAUAGUACUAUCUUGUAAGAGAAGGUAGUAUGGCUAGCUGCUAGUAGCGCCAUGGCUUUCUAGCAGAAUAAUUGAUGAAAUGUGCAGUGUACAUAGAGAUUCCAUAUUGCUAAUAAUAUGAUCGUAGAUCUAGGACCAAUUUAUCUUAGCAAAGAGGUAAGUGUAUAUAUGCCGGUCCAUAGAUAUGUACACAAUCUUCUCUCUAGCUAGCUAGCUGGUAGCUCAUGUACCACACUUACCCCCCUCUCAAAAUAGCUACACGACUCCAUCAAUUAAGAAAAUUUGGAGCCUAAUAGCUUCACACACGUUGCAACUUGUAUGAACCAUAAUGUGUCCCUGUCGUUAAUUUGCUUAGGCAUCAUUUGAUUCUUCAACCCGGCCGAAGAUCUUCUUUUUUUUGUUUUUGAGAUUUUCAUUGUAUAGUAGACACUCUUGGAUACGUACCUACGUCGAUAUAUACAAUUUUUUUCCCCAAUCAUACGUAUAUUAUACGUACAUAGCUAGCUAGACUGACAAGGGAUGAUGGCCAGCACAGCCACAACUGGUUAUGGCCUAAUCAAUAGACUAAUCAAACAUUCAUUUCUUAAUAGGAUGAAAGACAGAUAUGUUGAAGUUGCUGCAAAGAUGAACAACAAAUUAAUUAAGCUCUAAACAAAUAUCUUUGACACAUUAUGGAUUCUAGCUAGUAAUAUGCGGAAUACAUUUCUGAUACGUGUAUAUUCUUAUCACUAAUUAAAGAAUCUAAUAGCUACAAACCAGUCAGUCCGUAUCUUAAUUUGGAAUCUCAUAAAUAUUAUAAUUAACCUAAUUCUUCUCCAUUCUAUAGUAUUUGGCUUGUGCUAUAGCAACAUAUGUACAGAAGGAAUGAAUGUCAACUAUAUAUGUGAGAAAAAUGGGUGCUAGAUUAUUAUAGAAAAUAAACAAAAAGAAAAAUAAAUAUAUAUCGAUGAAAUUGUUCUUGUAAUUUAGUGGAAACUGCUAGGCGUGGAAUACUGGAGUAGGGUGUGACCAGAUCGAAAACAAAAAGAAGAAGAAGACGUACGCACGACAAUGGUUGCCCAAUAAUUCGAUAAAUCACGAGGCCGGGAGGAACCAAUUGAAGUCAAUGCCGAAAAAGAUCGCAUGAACCAGGAAUCUACCAGAAUCAAAAUGAAAUAUGAAGAUUCAUCGGUAUCUAGCUAGAAUAUUGUGGAAAAAGUUGAAUCCUAGCUAAAAGGUGGUAGAACAAUUAAGUUGUACAUGAAUCAUGAUGAUGAAAUUAGCAGAUAUUUCUGUCGACUUCUCUCUGGCACACGACGUAUCAUAGAUUUUUUGAUGGCCCAGAAACACUAACAAGCUUCUAAAUCUUUACUUUUCAAUAUCUCAUCAGUUCGUGUUAGGUUUUUCACUGUGGCAUUAGCAGCAGUGUCGACGAUCUACUUUCUAUAAGAACAUGUGCUUGGAUGAGCAGCCAACAUUUUAUUGGAUGCUUUUUGAAUUGAUCAUUAUGUGCUUGAUUGAAUUGAGCUGGCUAGCAAUCCAAGUUUGAUUUCUGAAGCAAACACAAUGAGAACAUUGACCUGCAUUAUUCGAUCGAUCGGAGAAUCUGCAAAUACAUAUUUUAGUAUAGCUGUGCCGGAAAUGAUGUGAUCAAGAGUUGAAUUGUUGCAAAAGCAAUAUGAUUACGGCCGGAGAAGGAUUAGAUUAUUUUGUAACAGAUCGAGCAUUCGGCGGUCCACUUAAUAUGCUCAGCCAUAUAUAUUCUAUGAUUUAUGAGAAUUUGUCAAUGGGAUUGAAAUUUCCAAACGUUCCGUUUAAAGUUUUUAACUGAUCAAUCAAUCUUCUUAUUGAUAGAUUAGAUUGAUUGAUCAGUAUCGAUAAGAAUAUUGAUUAGUAUGCUGAAUCCAUUGAUUCGAUUCUAAAUUACGAGCUAGAUUGUGCAAAAUGUGAUUGAAACUUUGUAGCACCUUUCGUCACAAUUACCAAAAUUCCUAAUGGGGGGUCUUCGAUCAGCAUGUCUCAAUCUGGAGAACAAACCAUGAAAUAGCGGUGGAGCCAAAAAUGUGGAAAUUUCAGCAAAACUGCUACGCCACACAACAAGAAGACUUUGACCCCAGAAAACACUGUUAUGCGCAAUAAUUAAUAAUAGUCAACACUUUACGCCAAUGAUCGAAUACGAUAUGAUUCGAACGAUGCCUACAUUUCACUUAACAUCUUACAAAUCCCAGAAAGAAAACCAAGAAUGCAGUAGUCUUAGGGCAUGUUUACUAACCUGGAAUGAAAUUGAGAGUGGUGUAAUUGAUUCCGGAAUGGAUGAAUUCCGGCGUUUACUAACAUGUCAAGGUAUUAUAAUGAAUGUGGGUCCCACUUGCUUAUCAGGAAUCGAUUCCUGACGAAACCCCUUAUUCGAUAUCCAAAGAGGGAGGUGGGUAUCAGAAUCAAGGUAAUGGAAUCAAUUUUUUCUCCCUAAAAUAUCCUCACAUAAUUAUAAUAUUUCGAAAUUACCCAACCCUAUAAAUAUAUAUAUAUAUUUAUAUAUAUAUAUAUAUAUAUAUAUUAUAGAAGAGAAGACAACAAAUAUUGUUAGAUACAAAAAACAACGAUGAUAAAUAGAAAAGAAGAUGACACACUCCAAGGCCAGUUUCUCUCUUCCAUGGUGAUCGAUAAGCUUCUUUGUUUUUGUCUAUCGUCUCCUCUCUGUUUCGUUCGGUUAUAUUUCAUUCAUGAGUGUUCAUAUCUGUGUCGCAAAACUUUGAACACACGCACUUGAGUCAACCAAUAUAUAUGGUUUAAAUGGUCUGAUGAAUAUAUCAUCUAAGAAUAUUUACAUAUUUGAAAGAAGAACAAUAAAAUAAUUGCAAACAUCUAGCUUCCUUUCUUGUAGGGGUAUUUUAGUAAUCAAACUAGUUUUAAUUCCGAUUCUAUAUGGUAAGUAAACAACAUCAAUCGUAAUUUAGUUUCAUUCAUGUUUUAAUUCCUUAUGGUAAGUAAACAGUAGAAUAGAAUGAAAUAUUCCGAUACUGAUUCUUGUUGAUACCGAUUCUUGUUGAUACCGAUUCUUGUUGAUAAGUUCCAUUCCAAGUUAGUAAACGUGCCCUUAGUCGAUAACUACAUGUACGAGCACCAGCAUUUUUCUUUUUUAGCUUUCACUAAUUGACCUACUUACAAGUGCUGCAUCUUAGCUCAUAUGCUUGAAUUGGCUUGCGUGUUGCAUUCAGUGUUUUCUUCAACAUGGGUUUCUUUUCAGGGUUUGUGAACUAUUGAAUUUCUUCAAUAUAACUCUUCACGUAAUUUGAUAAGAAUUUUCUCAAAUUCGGGUUCAAAAAACCUGCCAAUAAGUGCCAAACUAGACGUUCGGAAGUAGGUUUCCAUCUAAUUUUAGAGUGUCUUUAUCCUUAAUUAAAGAUGAAGACUAAAGAAUAGAGUAAGCUAACAUGGUUUGUUGCCCUAAUCGUAAGCUUAUCUUGUCUUAAUUUAACCAUUCACAUGCAGAGAUGCGAAGUUUGUGGUAUGCUAGUUUAAACAAAUUUAGGGUUAAUUUGCUGCAUUUAGCUUAAUAAUGAAACACAGAGGUGGACAAACUCCUAUCAAGUGGCAUGACAUGGAUGGCCGGGACUAGCUAGUACAACUAGUAAUGUCAAAUUUUCCUUUCUUAAACUAGCCGAUUCGACCAUAUGUACGUAUCUUAUAUAUUCAAACUAGCAAGAAGAAGAAAGCUAGCCACACGUUUCCUCAUUGGCUAAUAUUUAGCCAAUUUGGUAUCCGAUGCCGAUAUAUAUAUCCAUGACGACCCCAAGUCCACCAUGAGAACCCCUAAGUCGUUCACACAAGCGAGCUGAAGUCGACAAUUGCAGGCAGAGAUAGCUACUGCAUUAGAAGUCGAAACGUAUAAAUGUACGUAACAAAGUUACAAAUCGAAACCGCUUGAGGUUUAGUUCAACUCUAUCCGGGAAAAGUUUGAGAAGUUGGAAUUGAUUUAUGUACACUCAUGAUGAACAUUAACGUCAAUCGGAGACUAAUAUUCAUAUAAUUGUAGCGGUCAAGAAAGGACAGAGAGACAAUGAAGUAUCAGGUACAAUAAGUUCAAGUGGAAUUUUCUGCAAGUAGAGAAAUAUGUGUGCCAAUGAAGUACGAAAUGGUCAAGAAAUUAGAAACUAAGACUGUCACAGCUGCGGAAGCUUGUGCUUGUACUCACCCUGGUGAUGUUAACAUGGAAGAAUUUCAUUUGGUGGCUAGCAUUGAUCUCUUAAUCAACUCGAUUAAGCUAAAAUAAACUUCAUAUAUAUGCUGUGGUGUUUUCAACUUCGAUUGUGUGUGCCAAGUGGUUCAAAUCUGUUCAUUCUGGUACGUACAAUUGAUUCUGCGAGUUAAGAGGAGUCAGCGUGACGAUUCUAGUGUGUAAUAAUCCAUAACGUAUGUGAAUGGAAUAAGAGACAAUGAAGUUAAGGUUCAUUUGCAGGGAGUUAGUUCUUGAUUAAAACUUCUUGGGCUGAGCUCAGCUUUAUUCGUUGCAUGGAAAUUAAGUAUCCUAGCUAGGGUUUGACGUUGUUAUAUGAUUGCUCGAUUCCCAGCUAGUUCAAGGCUCCAUUUUUUUUUUUUACGUAUAUAUGCAGGAUAGUCGAAUUAAUCUAUAAUUUAAAUUGUCGAAACGAUCGGCCAGCCUCCCUCGCCGGCCGGUCGAUUCUCCAUUAGCCACAAUGGGUGUAGAGGGUGUGGACUUCUGUGAGUCACAACUUGGUUUGAAUGUCUUCUACGCGAUGUGGUCGCAGUCGACUGAUGCAGUGGGCUGUCUGGCAACGUCCCUAGCCUCUUCUUCUAGUCAGUUUGAGUGCGAAACUGAAUAGCAUACGAUCCACAAAUCAUAUCGAUUGCGACGUCGGAAGGUGUGGAUUGUAAGAUGACGGAAGGCUCAUCAUUGUGGCUAAUGGAGCAGUGGCCUUAGGCCAGAUUUCUAGUAGUGAUCAUAGCCAAAGCACCAACCGAGGCAGCUAUUUCUGUACGUACACCAGAACAGCCCUCGUGUUGUAAAACACUAAAACACAUAUGAACCUCGAUCGUAUGAUACACACCACAAGCAUAUCUCUCAUUUUCGAAGGCAGUGGUACCAAUAAUAUAUAGCUAGUAUGUAUUAGUUUUAGUUUAGGGUUUGUCUACUUACUAUACAAAUGUGUAUGGUACACAAACUCCAAAAAGUGGUUCACUCACUUCUAUUCAAGGGCAUACAAAAGAUAUUUUGAGGAGAUAAAAUUGUCAUUUUACUAUAUUUUUAAACAAUGAUAGCCACAUACGUUGUUUGUAUGAUAUGCAAAUUUGUAUACUAGAAUUUUUCUUAAUUUUAAACGUUCGUAAUAUAUGUAAUAUCUAACAUCCAUACACAUCUUUUUCAAAGAGGAUGUACACAACAACAAGUGGAUGAAGAAAAUCAGAAGAAGUUGUAGGAGAAACAAUAAUGAAUAGUUGGCGUUUGUUCGAAGAAGAAUUGAAGUCUCACCUUACGACCUAUAGAUAUUAUAGUAUCAACCAAUAUUAAUUUCUGUGAAGAAGUUCUUGCUUGCAGAUCAACACUGCGUACAAAAUUGAUAUACCAAAGUUGACGUUGACUUGUAUUAUUUUGGGUGGUUGCUAAUGUAAGAUUGACCAAUUCUUUAUAUAUAUCUCGCUAUCAACUGCUUUUCGAUUUUCUUCAUUGCGCAUGUGUUUGUGCAUAUGUUGUGUUAUUAAUUUCUUGUGUAUGAUCUGGACAAGAGAGUUUCCUGUCAAUGAAGCAUGCCACUCGUUGGAAAAUAUAUUCAAAUUUCAUAUAUAAUGUUACAAAACUUGGGAGUGGGGUAUUGUGUGUGCUAGAAUGAAUUGGAUUUGACAAGUUAAAUCCGUAAGGCAAACCUAGAACAAGAUUGACUACUAUAGACGACCAUUGCAGAAUUAGGCGACCACUUGGUCUUAGAUGAUCAUAAGCCCAUUCCAUCAUUUGAUAAUUCUUAGGUUCACUCUAGAGGUGCUGGAUCUUUUUGUGUCUCAAAGGUUUAACUGUGUCAAACAAAAACAACUACUGACUACAAAGGUUACUUGUCUCCUCCUUUUAACAAUAUGAUUGAAAAGGAAAAUGCAGGUAUUGGAGCUGAAUGUCCAUGUGAGAACCAGUAUAGAUUUUAGAGAAAAUACACCAAUGAAAAAUAUUAUUAGGAUAAAUUUUAGUUUACCCUCUUGAGAUUUGGAGUUAAUAUCAUUUCAUUCCCUAUAUAUUCUCUUAAUUUAAAUUUACCCCAUAUAGUUCAAUUUUCAUAAAUCAUGCCCAAUUGCUGAAAUUCCGUCUAAUUUGGACGUUAAAUGCUACCAUGAAAUUUAAAAAAAAUGGUCAUACAAGGGGAUUUUGUUGUUAUAUGACUAUUUUAGCUCUUAAAAUAAGUUAUAAAGUCAAAAUUAACGUCCAAAUUAGAAGGAAUUUCAGCAAUUGGGCAUGAUUUAUGAAAAUUGUAAACUUUAAUGAGUAAAUUUUUAAAAUUAAGAGAAUGAGAACUGAAAUGAAGUUAACCCCAAAUCUGGAGGUAAAAUAAAUUAAAUCCAUAUUAUUUCAAGGCUUCCUCGAUCUUCAGUGUUCUUAAAUCCUUGCGGAUUUUCGUUUUGGGCAGUAAAUUACACUCUUGUGGGCUGGGGCCAUCGUUGGCACGCAAAACAAGAACAAGGAUAAUAGUACCCCGCGGCAACGACGUUGUUUCUGAUUAAUUAUUCAGGUCAUUGCGUGACUAAGGGACCAAAAGUCAUUAUAUAUUACCCUCAAGUACCCGAUUUAUUUAAGAAUAAUUUUCCUGCCGUUUGCGGCCGUUUCCUAUUGUUUCUAGCAGUUGCGGCCAGAUCAGUGCGUAGCCAGUGUCUUAUAGAUUAGAAAUUUGUUCAUGAAAACACGCGAAUACGACCGAAAACGCCCAGAAACGCGUUGCAAACGCCCGAAAACGUAUUCGUAGAUAAGUUGGAUACGUGGGGAAUAUAUUGACUUUUUUUUAUCUUAUAAAAAAGUAGAGAAAAAAAAAUUUUAAAUAUACACCCCUAAUCUCUUAAUACACACCUCUAUUAUUUUAUGUUUCUAUUAAGAUUUUAUAGGUAAGCUAAAUGACCAAAAUAAACAUCUAUUAUUAAAAAAAAAAUCGCGCUAGAAGUGUUAUUUUCAACAUCUUCUACCCUAAAAUCGUCGAAAAUACGUCUUCUCCCUUAAUCCCAACUCUUCUCCACAAUUUAUUUGGGUUGUCUUUUUUUUCCUUCUUCUUCUUUUUAUUUUUAUUUUUAUUUUUUAUCUGUAUCAGCUUUAAUUUGAUCUUGCAGAUCAUGUUGUCAAGUAUUGCAUCUUUAUCAUGACAUGUUUUAUCGAAUAACUAGCUAUCUAUGUUUAAUAGCUACUGUACUUCUACAGUUCUACUAGCUUAUGAAUUUUGAAAACUUGUAUUGGUGAUUUGGAGUUGGGAUAUAACAAUACUCAUUUGAUUAUAAAUUGAACGAUGAUAACCAAAAAUUUCUAACAAAAAUUAGAUGAAAUAAUAUGUAAAAAGAGGUAUCAAAUAGUAAACAUAUAUUAAUUAUAUUAAAUAAUGGAAUAUUUCAUAAGUUAAGGACAUUUUAGGCAGUUUGGGAUGUGUAUUAAGUAUAAUACUGAAAUGAAAAACUUGAUAAGUGGUGUAUUAAGUAAGAGGUGUGUAUUAAGAUAUUAGGGGUGUGUAUUUAAAAUUUCUCUAGAGAAAAAAGCUGUGUCUAAGAAGUAAACCGACGUCAUUUCUAAUUAAUUACUUGGGUCGUUGCGGCACUUAGAGGCCCAAAGUCAUUAUUACUCACUUGUACCUAAUUUAUUUACGGAUAAGUUUCCAGCCUUUUGCAGCCAUUUUUGACCAUUUACGACCGUUCCAGUCAUAUCAACGUGUAGCCGGUGCCUUGUAGAUUAGGAAUUUGUUGCCGGAAACGUGUCGGAAACAUAUGCGUAAAUAAGUCGAAUACGUAGAGGCAAUAAUGACUUUAGAUAUAUAGAAAAGAGUAGAAAAUAAAAUAAAGCUGUGUCUAAGAAGUAAACCGACGAGUUUGGUAGGCUCUGGCAGAAGCUUCAUCACCCGCAGCUCCAACACACAAGAAAGAUAGAUCUCAACUACUAUGAGAAUAGUACAUUAACUUAGACAGUUUUCAGUUUUAACUAACAAGUUAAAACAAGCAAGCAAAACAUAUCAACAGAAAUACUAAAAUGUUCAAGUAGUACUAGUAGCACCAGCUAGCUGAACUUACUGAUCAUCUUCCUCUAUGUUAGUUCAAUCAUUUAAGCAACUGAAAUAACAGGAGGAGCCUUGAAGCCUUGGUUCUGAUGUUGCCUGCUAACCUGGUGCUUCACAGAUAUGCCUGAUGCGCCGAAACAGAAGUAAUGCCUCCUCAACUUUCUGUUUCUCAAAUUUGGGGUGUCAUCAUCAGCUACUUGAUUGGACCAAGAUGGUCCGGCUGCAUCAUUGUCAAUGCAUACACCUUUCUGUUUAUCUAUAGAACUCGGUGAAGAGAGUGAUGAUGUUUUCGAAAAUGAGCUAGAGCGCGAACGGCCUGGGACAGUUAUGUGUGGGAUUGCUUGCAUUACACCAUGCCUUAAACCUGAGGCGAACUUCUUCUUGGCGGUUGGACUUGAUUGGUUACUCCUCACAGCGAGUGUUCUUUUGUUAUUAGGAAGUGGUGAAGAGGCCUUUGAGAAUCUCUGCCGAAGUGGUGUGGGAGCUGCCUCAUCUGAAAUAGUGCUGCCAAAAUCUACUGAAUUCUUGAAUCUUUCAGGCUUCUUCUCUUUGAUCCGGGGCCACCCUAUUGCGCGUUUCAGUCGUUGCGCUGCAUGGUUUACAGAACCUGAAGGCUUUUUAGUACUGAUUGAGGUCUGGUUUUCAUCAGUGGUGUUGUGUGGAUUUAGUUCCGUUGAAGAUACAUUGCUUCCUAUACUAAGCUUAUGCUGAUGACCAGCACUGGCAACCGGUACAUUUUCAAUUCCUGUAUACAGAAAGAUUUCAGUGUCGGAGAUUUUAAACGAUGUUCCAGGACUGCCUCCAUCGCCUUGCAUUUUUAAGUGUGAAGCAAUGGCUUUUCUUGCACUGUAAUAGUCCUGACAACCAAAAAUCCCCCCAGCCGAAAUCAACUGCCUAAUUAGUUUAUCAGACGAUGCAGAAGGAGGCCAUUGCCUGAGGUAAUCAAGUGCUGUCAUGCCAUCCACAUCGCGGACAUUGACAUCAAUUGUUUGAGACAUCAUAAGAAGUUGCACCAAGUCAGAGUGAACAUUACCAAUGAUUGCUGUGUGCAGGGCAGUCCGGCCUUCGUUAUUCUUGGCAUUGAUGACUUCUUCAAUGUCAAACACUCUCCCACAAACCAAGAUCUUCAGGAGCUGAAUCUGCCGGUCCAAUCUACGGAAGGCAGGAGUUUGGAAACCGGAUAUAACCUUAUGGAGAAAUGUUUCUCCAGAGUUGUUUGUCGUAGAAAUCAUUGACGAAGGAAAUGCAGAUAGAAGAGCUUCAACUGCAGCUAAGUGGCCCCUAGACGCUGCUACAUGCAAUGCUGUGUUUCCUUGAUGGUCUCUGGAGUUUAUGAUAUCAUAGGUGGCUGUAAGAUACUUCACUACCUGCAUCGAUAACAAAGAUCAUUAUCAAAUGUACAGACCAAAUAAUUACAAAGUUUCAGUCAGGGCUUAAAAUAAGUGAUUUCAACCAGGGAGGGACAACAUAUGCCUUAAUGCCUUAUACAGAACAGCUACAAACUGGAAUUCUCUUCAUUAAUAAUCGCAAAGAAGUUAAAUCUGAAUGAAGUAGAUAGAAGAUGAAGAUGUAGCUAACAAGAAGUGAUUUUUAUUUUUCAUAGUGAAUACACAGUAAGAAUCGAUAAGUUUUUCGAACAAUCAUGAAUCGGCCGAGGAAUUAUGCCGCCUUGAAGUUAUAACUGUAAUCCAUGAUUCAUGACAUGACUCGAGUAGUAACACACAAACACAAAUAAAGCCACACAGAAUCAUGUCAUUCACCUUAUUCUCUCUUCAUGCUACUAUAUCCAUUCACAUACAACAAAUCAACCAUAACUUCAUAUUGGCAGAGAUUAUUAGCAUCUUGAGUCAUUCCCAACUCCAAAAAUUAGUCAAUUACCAAGAAAAUCGAUUAAGAGAUAUCUUUGAAAUUUAUGCAGCUUAUGCUUGUACAAGUGAAAGAAGAAUACGCAAAAGAAAAAAGCUUUUCAAUAUGCACAUAAAUGGAAGCUAGAAGCCUCACCUCUACCCGUCCUUUUCCAGCAGCUGCAUGUAGAAUAGUGGAUCCUUGAACAUCUCUAUAAGUCAGAACAUCAUUGCAAUCCGAAAGAAGCUCCUUCAAGAUCAACAAGUUUCCUCCUCUAGCAGCAGCAUGAACCGCCCUAUUAACCAUCUCCCUCUUAUAAACACAAGGAAUUUCCCCGAUGUGUUCCUCCAACUCCCCACCUCUGCCUGAAAAUCGCGGCGAAACUGCAUAGUCAAACAGCAGCCUGAAAACUUCUGCAUUCUUGCUCUUAGCAGCAGCAUACAGUAUAUCAGUAACACCAAACUCUCCUUCCCCGAAAACAAGAAGAGGGUUUCUCUCUAACAUUUCUUUCACAAAACCAAGCUGACCAGCUGAGGCAGCUGUGUAAAUGAGCCAUCCACCAUAACCAGCUCGGAUGAGAGAGUUCUUUCCCUUCUUGGACUCACAUUCAUGAAACAGCUUUCGUGCAACAUGUGCACGGCACUUCGCUACAUCGUGGAACUGUUCUUCAUCGUCCCAAACAGUCUCAAGGCGACGAAUUCUGCGUAGUGAGGUGAGCUUAAUGAGGUGGUUGCUGUCAAUGCGGAGGAGCUCUCGGACCAAAUCAUACUGUCCAUUGGCAGCUGCAUAGUCUAUAGGAGAAGCAUACCACCAUUGGUCUCCGGUGCUCUCCCACCGUAGAGGAAAAUGUGUGGCAGGCAUUCUGUAGAAUGUGUUUAGCAAAAUAUACUGCAAUGCUACUAAGAAUACCAAAGUUAGUGAGACUUGAUGAAAGCUCACACAAUGAGAGGAGAAGAGGACCCUGGUUUGGUAUUAAUUUAAGGAGUUGAACUACUUCCUGCUGUUCCAAUUCAUAUAGAAAUAUGAAAAUGGAAACGAAGAAUUAACAAAAGGAAAGCACAUGCAGUAAAGGGAAUUAAGAAUUGCCUCAAGUGUGGAGGCCAAGGUUAGAGAGGAAUAGUUAAUAUAUCAAGUAGUUGAGAUGAGAAGGGAAACAAUCAUCAUUGCUUACACAAAUGGAAGGCAAGAAAAGAAAUAGGCCCUUUGAGAUAUGUUGCAAUAAAAUAUGGUCAGUAUCAAAUAUUUUCAGAAGAUAUCAAAGAGGCAGAUGAUCAAUAUUUGGUUGUGACAGAUAAGGGACCGGUACGGUGGAUAGCAUAUAAACUAUAUAUGACUUGAAUGCUAUGCUAUGGUUUGAGGAAGAAAAACUAAGAUUAAAACGAUAUUUCAAGGUGAAAGGAGAUUCCUCUUGUACAGUGAAAGUUACAGAUGCAGAAAUGAUGAUGAUGAUGUUAAGCAAUAAGAUAGAUUAGACUAAAGUUUACUGGUAGGAGUAAUGAUAAUGAUCAUAGAGGAGAGGAAGAAUUACCGUGCUCAAAGAUGUCGGAAUGAUAAAAAAAAGUCUGAGGCAGAACUGAAGGAAGGCAGAGAGCUUUUCAGAAAUGGAGGUGGAGCUUCUUUUUUUUUUUUUUUUUGGUCUGAAGAGAUGGAGCUUUUCAGAGAGAGAGUUUAUGACAUAAGAGAAUUCUUAGUGACCCUUAAACAUAUCAUUAGUAUAAGUUUUGGUUUCCACACUAGUAAUUAUUAUAAUUUUGCUUUAUUCUUUGGUCUGUUAGCUACUCUAUUUAGACAGAAAUGGGCUAAAGUGACAUUCCACUUGCAUCAUCAUCCACUUAAUUUGUUGUUCCAGUCAAGUACUCAACCAAAGAUAACACUGAUGUUCAGCAUUUGACUCCAGAAUCUGGUGUAUAUAUUUCAGGAAAUUUUAUUCAAAAGAAUUUAGAAACCAACUUAGAUUUAGAGGAACUUAAUGUUGGGAUGGUGAUAGGUAGCUUACUCAAACCAACUUCUAUGUGCUAACCUAAAUGGCUCAUCUAUUAUCAACUGCAUAAAUUAAUAUUGGGUCGGUGCAUACCCAACUAGCACAUCUUUGACAUAUAUUCCAAAACUCGACUUAUAAAUUCCAACCAUGAGACAUAAAUAGGUAUUAUUCCUUAUCAUUCAAGACUCAGAAGGUUUAGAAAACCCUUCAAGAGAGAUUUUAAUCAUCUGCUUUUCUCAUCAUUCUCUUCCCUCUUGCAGAAUGGAAGUAUCAGCAUUCAGCAGAUCAAAUUCUAGAGGGGAAGAGAUAUGGUAUAGCCUAGUUGGGUUUGUUAACUCAUUCCAAGAGAAACUGAACUAUAAGGUUGGGAAGGUGAAGUCCUCUUAUUGAAACAUACAGCUAACUCUCAAUAAAAGCAAAAGAUGCCAUAUGAAAUGUGGGAUAGAGGCAUGCACCGGCAUUUCUAACUUUUUGAGAAGAACAAGAUUCAAAAGCUAUGAAUUGGGAAUAGUGGGUUACUACCCCAAUACUGACUUUACAAAACCUUUAGCAAUAAUAAUGCAUGCUGCAUGUGACAUGUCAAAUUUCCAUGAGUCUCUUUCUUUGCUUUGAUAGAAACCAUUGAAGCCUAACCCUUCACAUGGAAAAUCCAGAAAGUAAAAGCAUGUUGGGUUUAUCCUAGUAUGUAUAAGCAUGCGUAAGAGUGAUAGAUGAUAUAUAUAGUUCUUUGUAUUUCUACAACAAGCUAGAGAAGUUCUGCAUAGAUGUGAUAGAGUUAUGACCUUGAUGAAUGAGGACAAUGGAUGGAUGACCAAGUUGAUGUGAUAAUGAUGGAGGGAAAAGGGAAAAACAUGUAGCUUUCUGUGAAUCGAUCACUAGUGAUGAGAUAGGAAUAGGAUUGGAAGUAGGAUCAAACAGAAUCCGACCCACCAUUUGUUAUAAACUGAAGUUGGGUAGUACCUAAUGGGGGACAUCAGUAGGACAGGAGGAUGGUGCCUUCCACCACAUAUGAAUAUGAUGUUCAAUAACCAAUCUCCUAAAGUUUAGGGCCCAACUGAAUGAUGCAUUAAUCAAAUUCUAUAAUGCAUAGCUGGGGUUAAUGUGUUCUUGGUAUGUAUAUAUAAGAAAGCAUCUUAUAUCUAGGCAUAACUUCCUUGCAUAUAUCAGAUAGAAACCAGGAUUUGUUUGUAUCAGGGUAUGAAGACUAGUUAUGCAUAUAGAUUGAUGUUCAAAGGUGAACUCAAGUGAAGCAAGAGUCUUGAUCGAUCGUGUGGCCAAUGGUGGUUAUUAACGCUUCGAUUAAAAUCGCAAGAGUGCUUCGAUUAAAAUCGCAAGAGUGCUAGUGAAGUUAUUCUUAGGUACUAGUGAAAAUUGUUUGCCCAGAGAUGAAAUUAAUGGUUAUUGAGAUUUGUAUGUAGUGUACUAAUCAAAGGCUCAGCUGCUGCGAGUCCAAGUCCAGGGCAUACCCUUUCCCUUUCAUAAAGCAUAUCUUCUUUCUAAACUAAAAGUCUAGAACUGCUGUGUGAAAGUCGAUCAUAGAAGCAAUAGUGAACUGUGAAAGAGAACCUUUCUUUAACUAGCAGAGUAAAGGUAGACUCCAUUAUAAGCUAAAACAGUAAUGAGGUUAAUGAGUGAUUGAGUAUGUAAUUGUUAAGGCUCCACAAAUGAGCUAAGAUCAUUUCUUCGAUUCCUUUUCUUCUUUAAUAUUCCAUCACAUAAUCUCCUCACAUGCAAAAGACACAAUCAUUCAAAGGAAAUCCCAGAAGAUUCAGAAGCAUAACAAAGUAGUAAAAUUGGUACCUGUCUUCUGCUUGUUAGCACAUGACACAGCAAUCAGGGCAUUUGACCAUUUGUAUUAAUCUUCCAGACUCGUCUGAUCUUUAGGGUUUUGGCACCAAGAUCACAAUGCUGUCAAUGCAUUGUCUGUAAACUAGGGCCCAAGCUCACCCAUGAAACCCACUAAUGCUAGCAGAAAUGUCAUCACCCAAACUCUGAUUGGAAUCUUUCUAGGGUUUCUUUCCCAGUGUAUAUCUGCUUAGGGUUUCGACUAGUGAUGACAGCGACGAGGAAAAAGAGGGAUUUAGGGUUUAGGGAUCUCGGCAUCGAUCCAUAUUCUGCUCGAUCACUUCCUUCUAUUUGAUUAGGGUGGAGUUCAUCGGAAUCAUUGCUUUGAACAUUUUGAACAUUUUGUCCCUCCAACGCUAACAUCAAUUUGCCAAAUCCUUUUUUAUCACUGGCAAACUGAUAUUAACGUUGGAGGCAAAAAAUGUUUGAGGCAAUGAACUCCACCCUAGUCUACCCUUUUAUGUACACUUUUUAUCCUAUUCUUUGCUCUUACCCUAAAGUAUAAAAUGGUUUAAUUUACCCAAAAAUAGUUUCAUUGUGACUUGUGAGGGCAACAAGUUCAUUAUAUUCUUAUCAUAGCUCUCUCGACUUCACUUCAUACAGAGCUUUACAAGUCUAAGAGAAGUUUACCAAUAUACAUGUAUUUUUAUUUAUUUACUCUUGUGCCUCCAUCAUGACUCCCUGAUCGAGUUAUUAGGUAUUAUGCUUGAUGCAUAAGUUGUCCACAAUUUCAGAAUUUUGAGACACCUGACAUAUUUGACCGUUCCGUAAUAAAAAUGUCUUGUUACAUAUCAUCUGGAAGUUCGAGACUAAAACUUCAUUCUGAAAAUAUGAAUGAAAGUUGUUACAUAACAUGGUUUUAUCAGAGAAAAAUCAAUGUGUAAAAGUGGUGGGUAUUACCGUAUUAGCCUCACGAUUACUUUGCAACGGUUUAGUAACAAGCAUCAAAAGAAAUCAACCAACCCUAUAGUUGAAGGAUAAAAAGUAAUUCAAUCUAGAUAAAACGGUAAAAGACGACGGCCCAAAGUCACAACAAGAAGCUAUCUAAAAGCCCAGCCCAGCCCAGCCCACCUUCAGCGAAUUGCCCUCUUGCCCAAGUAGUUAAAGGGUUUUAAUAGCGUGACAUAAACCCUAGUACCCUCAGAAACCCCACACAUUUCAAUCCCAAAUCUCCCUUCUCCUUCUCUCUGAGAUUCCUCCCAAAAUGAGCAACCAGGCCGCCGUGUCCUUCCUCACCAACCUCGCACGCGCCGCCUUCGGCAUCGGCGCCGGCGCCACCAUCGUCAACUCCGCCCUCUACACCGUCGACGGCGGCCAGCGCGCCGUCCUCUUCGACCGUUUCCGCGGCGUCAUCGACGAAACCGUCGGCGAAGGGACCCACUUCCUCGUCCCGUGGCUCCAGAAGCCCUACAUCUUCGACAUCAGGACCAGGCCCCACACCUUCUCCUCCGUCUCCGGCACCAAGGACCUCCAGAUGGUCAACCUCACCCUCAGGGUUCUCUCCCGCCCCGAGGUCAACCGUCUCCCUCAGAUCUUCAAAACCCUAGGGCUCGAGUACGACGAGAAGGUCCUCCCUUCCAUCGGCAACGAGGUUCUCAAGGCCGUCGUGGCGCAGUUCAACGCCGAUCAGCUCCUGACGGAGCGCCCGCACGUCUCGGCGCUGGUGAGGGAGAGCCUGAUCCGUAGGGCUAGGGAUUUCAACAUUGUGCUGGAUGACGUGGCGAUCACGCACCUUUCGUACGGGGCGGAGUUCUCGCGCGCCGUGGAGCAGAAGCAGGUGGCGCAGCAGGAGGCGGAGAGGUCUAAGUUUGUGGUGGCGAAGGCGGAGCAGGAGAGGAGGGCUGCGAUUAUCAGGGCGCAGGGAGAGAGUGAGGCUGCUAAGCUGAUUUCGGAGGCGACUGCCACUGCAGGUAAUGACCUGAUUGAGCUGAGGAGGAUUGAGGCCAGCAGAGAGAUUGCCGGAACACUCGCCAAGUCGCCCAAUGUCAACUACCUGCCUAAGGGGAACAAUGUGCUCUUUGGCCUCGGUGGUCGUUGAAGGUAACGCCUUCGAUUUCUCUGCAAUCGUGUUGUUUCUUACGAUUAUGUUAUGCUUUGUUUUGCACCUUGAUGCUAGGCAUUAGUGUGAAUUGAGACCUUGAUGCUAUGAAUUAGUGUGAAUUGAGACCUCCAUGCUAUGCAUUAGAAUAGGGAGCAACGUUACUUGUCUGUUCUCAUUGCGAAUUGAUAACUGAAUGGUAUUCAUUUGUAUUUUGUUUCAGUAGGUUUUGGUAGAGAUAAAGAGCAACACUAUAUGAACUGAUUAAUCAGAAUAAUGUGGUCAAAUUCUAGCUUAGUGAUGGCAUUUUGAUUAGUUAUGAUAUGAUACACAUUUAAGUAAAUUAAACCUGUCCUGAUGAGAACUGAUUAACAGGAAUACAGUGUGAUCAAACUUCUAGUUUAGUUCAGACCGCUUAUGAUAUAAUAAAGAAUUAAUGUAACCAAGUAUCUAUGGUGGUUAAACAACGAAUGAAGAAUGAAUGAUAACUAACAACCAAGUUUGGUUGCAUUCUGUGUCUUUUUUCGUUGCGAAUUGAUAGCUGAAAGAUAUGCAUUUGUGUUUUGUUUCAGUAUCUUAAGGUAAAUGAAAAGAAAACCCCUAUCUGAACUUAUUAAUCUGAAGAACGUGGUCAAAUUUCUAGCAUAGUUCAUUUAAGUAAAUUAAACCUGUCUUGAUGAGAACUAAUAACUAGAAUACAGACUUCUAGUUUAGUUUAGACCGCUUAUGAUAUGAUAAAGCAUUAAUGUAACCAAGCAUCUAUGGUGGUUAAACAAAUUGGAGCCUCGAGUGAAGAGCAGAGAGCCAUGCGCUUGUUACUUCUCAUAGUGCUCCGGAAAUUGAUUACCUUGCUGUUUCAGAAGGAUGGUUUUCCAUGUUUUUGUGAAUAUUAAGGGACAUGAUACAUCAGGUAGGAAAGUUUAUGGCUCAAGCUGCUAGAUAGUUUUUGUGAACUUCUGUAUGCGAUCAUUUUCUUUUGGUUUUGCUUUUUACUAUAAGAGGGGGAAGCUUCAAUGUGGUGUUCUUCUCACCCUUGUAGCCAUAUAAGGUGCAUGCAGCUUACAUGAACAUUGACAUUUUACUUUAGUUGACAUGCUUAAAGUUGGUGGUUGUCCCCUGCAACAUAUUGUUACUGCCUAUGCUGAUGGCUAGCACCAACCAAGAAUUUCUGUUAAUCUUAGUCGGCAAUGCAGUACUUGGUUUUCAAAACUUGAUUAGACAUUAAUUGGGAAUUGGUUUCUUCUUUAGAUUCUAUUAUUCCCUUCUCAGACAUACUGUACACAGUCAAGUGAAUUUGGUUGCUUAUUUUAUGGCUCCUUAUGCUUUUACACUAGUAAGGAAGAAUUGAUGAAAAUAAUUGUUAUAUAUCCUUGUUACUUGAUUUAGUUCAUUUUGGAAUUUAAUGCAAGAUAUUGCUAAAAAUUUUGCAGGUUCCUCAAGGAGUAGCAUCAACAUGAUCGGAUCAUAAAUAGUCAGAAGAGAACACUAUUGGUACUUCUGUUUUUGCGUGGAAAUAGUUUAUCGGAAACUUCAUAAUGAUAAAAACUGAUGGUAUUAGCCUUUUAGGUCGUUUAAAUGUCCGAAUUUAUGAAUGUUUGUUUGUACUUUUGAUAGAGAUUUUGGAGCCUUUUGUUAAUAUGCUGCUGUGUUGCCCACUGAUCUAUCAUUAUUAUCUGUUUCCUUCUAUCUAUAAUGAAUUUUUAAUUCAUCUUGUCAAACAUGUAACUAUAGUAAUGAGCAAGGAAGAAGUGGAUGUUCAAGGGAACAGUCUGCUUGUAUUUCAUUGUAGCCAUAGCUACUCCAAAUGAAAUGCACACCUUGUACCUACUCGGGUACCGGUGUUCAACUCUCUACAAAAUGGAAGAAAAUCUACAUCUUGAGGUCAAGAAUUAGCUGCCUGUGAACUUUCAUCUUGGCUAACAGAGGCCAUGUGACGGAUCAAGUCGAUAACUCGUGUGCUGCAUAGUGCAUCACACUGUUUUAGUAUCCCACUGUGAUGUUGAAGAAACCCAGAUUGCAUAAUAAAGACAGUGAGAUACUUACCUAUAAGCCCAUUCAUUGUCAUACCAAGAGACAAGCUUUACAAAGUUGUCAUUCAGAGCAAUUCCAGCCUUGGCAUCGAAAAUGCUGGACCUGCAGCAUAACAAAUGAUGCACUCAUUGAGAAAUGCUCCUGCAAUUUCCAUUAGAAAGGUCGAAAAGAAAGGCGCACAACCAGAAACUACUGAAAAUCCAAUCUGCAUAGGCAUCACACUGCAUUAUAUGUCCGUCGAUUUGUACUAGUAUCCAUGAAAACCCUCACCUAUUGUCACCUAAAAAGUCGGUGGAAACCACAUCAUCAUCUGUGUAUCCAAGGAUUCCUUUCAGGCUACCCUCAGAUUCUGUCCUGCAUUUUGCAGCAGAACAAGACUGUAGAUGAGCUGAUCAUCAAAGAUUAAGUUGUACCAUCAAACAGAACAAUCUGGCAAAUAGGUUGUUACAUCCUCAUUCUUACUUGAUAGCAUUUUUGAUCUCUUCAUAACUUGCCUGCUUCUCAAGUCUCACGGUGAGGUCAACCACAGAAACAUCGACAGUGGGAAUGCAGAAGGCCAUUCCUUUCAGUUUCCCAUCUAGUGCCGGCAGCACUUUACCAACAGCCUACAAAUAUCAAAUCAGCUCCAAUUAUCAACAUCUCUAAAAAAAAUUGGUGAAAAAAACUAAGAUAAGUAGCACAGAUAGAAAGGUCUAGGUCGAUAUCAUUCCUAGCAGUAUUGGAGCUAGGAAUGAUGUUGCGCCCAGCAGCUCUUCCGAUUCUCCAGUCUUUCUGACAAUGUGCAUCAACAACCUUUUGAACACCUCCUGCAUUGCAUCGAAAAAUUACAGUGCUACCUUACUUUCUGCUGAAAUGGACACAUGUACACUAAUUUAUGCAAGCCUCAGAUUUCUCAACGUGGGAUUCUACAAUCUCCAACAAGAUCGAAAACAGGCUGAGCUUGCAACUGAGAUGAAUGCAUUUUACAUACAUACUGACCAGCCAUAGAGUGGACCGUGGUCAUUAGACCCUCCACAAUACCGAAUUUCUCAUGGAUAACCUGUCAAGAUAUGUAUCUUAGUUAGUAACCCAGUUAAUCAAGUAACCAAUAUGAAACUAAGCUGGUUACCUUUGCCAAUGGAGCAAGACAGUUGAUAGCACAGCUUGCAUUGGAAACAACUUUAAGGUCGGGAGUGUAGUCCUUCUCAUUUACACCUACAACGAACAUAGGAGCAUCGAUACUUGGAGCUGUGAUUACAACUUUCCUUGCACCAAACUGUAUGUAUAUAAACAAAGUUAGCAUAUAGUAAACACAAAAUCAUCACCAUUGAUUAACAUCUAAGCUAAUUCACCUGCAUAUGAGCAGCAGCUCUGGCGUAAUCCGUCAUAUAUCCGGAGGCCUCGACCACAUAUUCAGCCUGGAGCUCUUCCAAUGGGAGGUAGGAGGGAUCCCUAGUUAACCAAACGUACAGGAAACUUGGUAUUUCAGUACUCUAGCGAACAAAGUAAACAUAGAAUCGAGUUAAGGUCUAAUUGGUAACUAAUUAAGUCAGUACUAUACCUGCCCUCAAAAACUCUAAUUGGGUGGUCACCAAAGAGAAUGGUCUUAUCAUCCUUAAGCUUAAGUUCAUGGUGGUGCUUCCACUUCCCGUGAACACUGUCGUACUUAAACAUGUAGAUCUGCGUAAGACAAUCUGAUGAGAAAUCAAGUCCGAUGAGUAAGACAUCCAUACAUUUACAUACCGAUGCAAGAGUAGCUAUCCGGUUAGCUUCAUAUUACUCUAAACUAACUCAUCCGACAAUGUUACAUUAUCAUUUUGAGAAAUUGUGUACAUACCAUAUACUUGGCGUUGAUAUUAGGAUCAUUUAUAGCAACGAUUUCCAUGUCAUCUCUUUGUAGAGCAACCCUAGUCACCAAGCGGCCGAUUCUUCCAAACCCUUCACCACAUAGCAUCAGAUCAAGAACAUUGAUGUAAUACAUGCAAAUAGCUCAGCGGCAAUGAAGAAAUAAUGCAUAUAAUACCAUUUAUGACAAUCUUGAUCUUGGCCAUGAGGAAUGCUGCAAUGUAAGUAAAAUGCAAAGAGAGUGAUACUGAAAAUUGCUUUGAGAUUAUGAAAGAGGAAGAAUGAAAGACAGGGUAGUUAAGUAUAAGUAAAAGACCACCAUGGACGACACCUUAGGCGAACGAAAUGGGCGCUGCACUAUCACUUACCGUAUAAACUCUAGUGAGGUGGCAUGGACGCCGUUCCAUUCGAACAAAGAUCGACGAAUUGGUAAACAGUGACUAUGAAGGAAAUCCAAUAUAAGGAAAUAAAUAAUAUCUUUCUUCACAUAAAUGAUAAUUAAAUAACUAUGUAAACGAAUUUACUGACCAUCUUUUACUUACCAAUCUUAAUACUCAUCAUCUAGAUCAGUGACAUCUUAGUUUUUGCAUUAUGUUUUAAGGUCGUACUCGGAACAAUGUAACACUUAUAACUUUCUUCAAGUUUCCUAGUAACCAAACUAAAGCAACAAUUUAUCAUUAAUUAGGGACUAUAUACACCUACUGACCCUUAAUAACUAGAAAUUUCUCAAGUGACCUUCAAGGCCUAGCGUUGUUGGAGGCUCGGUUACUUUGUUGUUUUGGACCGUUGUUCUAGCCACGUUUAGAUUAUUGCACAAGGUUUAAUUGUUGUUUUGGAUCCUGCUAAUGAUAAUAAUUAUAGUAGGAUUUAUGCAGUUAUCCGUAAGAAGUCUACUAAUUUUUUGUCUCAACUUCAAGCCUCAAACUCAAUGUACGUCGCAUAUUAGAGUGAAAAUUACAAACUGAAUUAAUUGCGAAUCAAUUGUAUUCGAUACAAUUGUGGUAGGCGCCUAGGCGGGUAGAUACUGUAGUAUGAAUUAAACAGGUACUCCAUUCAUGAUCUGGUUCUGGUUUUGUGCUUCAUGCUCAGUCCAGCGGCAUAUCCUGAUGAUCAGCUCCUUCAGUCUUUCAGACGCACGAGCAAUACCUGCAACUGCGAAACUCUCCAUCAAGUCGCUACUCAUCACAAUUAGCUUCUCUUUCAAUUCACCAAUGGCUAGAACAAGAGCUGAGACUCCACUUUCACAUAAUGUUUUCAAGUAUUGGUAUGACUUGCUCGCAACACUAACAAAACAGAUGCUCCAGAUGAAGAGAACGAGCCAACCAAAAGGUGGAAAGAGGAUGAGCAGCUCUAAAGUGAAAGCCAGAGUUCCCAACAUGAUGAUAAUCCUAUUCAUGAAUUUACGAAAGUUUACUGUACCGUGAUCAUUUUGGAGUAUCAUGACACCUAUUGACCCGAAGUAAGCCGAUAUGUCGAUAACAAACAGCCUCAUCAAUAGUGUGCUCUUGUAGUCUGGAGAUGAAUUUGCAAAUUUCAAUUGCAGGCAAAAGCCAAGGAUGGUGAUGAGAGAAACAAUACAUUUGUUCAAUCCCACCAUAGAUUUGCUCCUAGGUGCACCCUGCUCCAUUCUGUUAUUUAUUAAGACCAUAAGAAAAUUGAUUGAGUUAAAAAUUAUAUAUCAAAUUAGUGAAAAAGAUCGACUAUGGCUACGAAUGAGUUGCAGCUAUGCAAAAUAUAAUGUAGCUAGUAAGAUGACUAACACUGGCAAGUUAACAGAACUGCUGUUCCCCAUCUCUGUGGAUCGGAGCUCAAAUGUGGAUCGCAGCUCAAACCUUCCUCACCGUGUUGAUGAAGGUGGAGGGUGUGCUUUUCUUACUUUUCUUAGUCCCUUAUAUAAGCAAAUCAUAUACUCAAAUGUGGAACUCGGAACUCCGAGCUCAAAUGUGGAAACUCAAAUGUGGAUAAAUCAUAUAUCUGUCAACAACCUUUGACGUGGAACUCGGAACUCGGAGCUCAAAUGUGGAAACUCAAAUGUGGACAAAUCAUGAUGCAUGUGGACAAAUCAUAUAUCUGUCUGUGUUUAUGAAGGUGUUGAUGAAGGUGGAGGGUGUGCUUUUCUUAACCUUUGACUCGGGGUGUGCUUUUCUUAACCUUUGACUCGGACUGGGAGCUCAAAUCAUAUAACUGUCUGUGUUUAUGAAGGUACGGAGCUCAAAUGUGGACAAAUCAUAUAUCUGUCUGUGUUUAUGAAGGUAAUCAUAUUUCGUCAUUUAUAUCCUGACCUUUCCCCCACUAGGGAACAGCAACCCAACCACUGCGCUGGAUAUUGACACUGGUUAACUGUAAACAAAGAACUUACAUAUACCAUUUCUAGCUUAUUCACUAUAUUUCUUUGAUGCAUUGUAACAAUUUUUUUUUAUUAAAUUAGUGGAUGGAGAAAUUAUUUACAAACAUGUAAUAUCUUGAGAUAAAUUAAUAUAUAUAUAUGAUAUUCUUUUUAAUCACGAUGUAGUAAAUCUUAAUUUUUGGGUAAAAAAAAAUCUAAAGGCAUUGAAAAUAAUUUUGUAGUAGGUAUUGAACUUUGAUUUUUAUUUACAAAAAAUGAAUAGUACCAUAUUAGUCAUUUCAUUGCCUAUUCCAUAAGGGUUAUGAAAUAGUAGGUUAAUGUUGGUAUAUUUAUAUCAAUCGCUAUUCCAGAAAGUGAAAUUCCAUGUCAUGUAAUUCAUUUAAUUAUAUAAUGCAUCAAAGAAUUAUAUAUAAUGCAGAAGAGAAUUAUAUAAGUGACUUAAUUUAGGCAAAAAUUAAAUUAUUAGAACAACAAAGUAAUCGGAGAAUAAGAAACAAAGGUAGAGUUGGCCUACUGGUUAGGUCACUCAUCUCUCACUACUUUUUUUUUAUCAAAUAUCGGACCAAAGGGCCCGACCCUAAUUUCCUACUGGAGCUAAAUCUCUUGUAUACCAUGAGGUUAGGAAAAUGAUCAUCAAGACCAGAGGACUCAACCGACAUAUUGCCAACAAAGCAUCGGAAUUCCAACAAGGCAGUGGCUUCUAUCGCUUGAAGAAAUAAUAACAUGAGUCAACUUCGCCUCUUGAGUAGUGAAUACUCAUGAUAAAGAAUGGGUGAAAACCAUCAUUACUCAUCAGCUGUGUUUGUAAUGAGCCAAUCAAGCAGAACGACCACAUAGGAUCAAAAGAGCUAAACACACAAACAAAACAAAAGAUAAAAACAGUACACACAUAAACAUAAUGAGGUGCAGUAGCCCAGCCUUGACCACCGAGCCCAAAUCUCAGCAUAGGCCCAGAUAUCUGUAGCCUACCCAAAACUAGACCCGGUCCAUGGCCUAAAUUCGCUUCACUUGCCUGCUUCCGUCGAACCACCACUCCUCCAUCAACACCUUCGCUAGCUUUCCCCAAGCUAUAGAUCGAGCUUCCCACACUAGCCUGCACAACUCAGAUCGACGGGCCGAGGCCGCCACCAUCAGAUUCGCGGCCAAAGCUUCCAAACUCGGUCGAACUUCCCUGAGAUAACUCGCCGUAACCCAACCAGAGACCCGAUAUGACCUCAAAUCAUCUAUCGAUCUCUAAUGCUUCCAUGAGAAACUCAGACAGACCUGAUCCGAACAGAAGUAAACCGGAUCAGGUACUAUGGACGCCGGAACAACCACAAAAAUCCCAUGCUAGAACGAAUCUGAACCCUUCCCCUACCACCUCAGUUGGAUCUGCAACUUCCAAUCCCACCUCUUCAUUCCUUCCAACUCGCCCACCAACCCAAACAAAAAUAGGAGAAGAAGACGAGCAAAAAUGGCGCGCACUCCAGCUAAACGUUUCCUCUCCCAGGCUAAGACAUUACGGCGAGGCCGCCUACAAUGUUUAGCCAGGAGAGAGAGGUUUUCUUUCUUAAUAGGGUUUUUUCCUUAGGCGCGUUCUAUUUUCUAAUGGCUCGUGUAUGUCGAUUGUCCUCAUCACUCACACUUGAGUUCACAGUUUCGAUCCCCCUUAUUGUAAACUGGGGUAGAUAUUUUUGUUUAAUUGGACGAAGAUGUAUUGAAGUGCCGAGAUUGCCCUCAAAUUAUUUAAGACUUAACUGCCGUAUUGAAGAAUUUGAUAGUUGGGUAUCAAAUUGAAGAUAGCCCUAUAAUUCAAAUGGUUUUUUGUAAUUAAUCCUUAAUGUUAUUUUCAUGUCAUAACUCUGUCUUAGUGUCAUUUUUCAAACUCUCUGCCUUUGUGUCAUUUUCUAAACUCACUGCUUUAGUGUCAUUUUCAGAGAAAUGAACCAAAUGAGUCAUAUAUAUAUACUCAUGAUUAUACGAACCAGGUGAUUACAAAAAACACAAGUACUCAUAAGCCUUGCACAAUGUUUUGAAGGGGGCAGAACUCUUCUUGGAAAUGUGGAAUUCCUCUCCCAACUGGUUAUUUGUAUUCAUCAUUCAUCAAUCUCUCUAUACUAUUCAUCUGUUUUUUUUUUGUUGUGGAGAAGAACAAUCUUAACACAAAUCAAAGCAAAACCAAAAUCUAUCCCUCGUGUUUGCUCAUUCAAUUUUGGAUUAACAACAGAAGAUUGGUACUGAAGGCCUCCCAAACAAAAUAUGUAACCCUCAAGAGUCAGCAGAACUAUUCCAAUAAAAAAAACUCUGUAGCCAUGGUUGAAACCUAGCUAGCUGCAUGCAAUGGUGAUUUAGGAACUGACUUUGCUUAUGUAACUGUGGCCAUAUGACAGAUCAAGUUGAUAACUCGUGAGCUGCAAUACACCGUGUUCAUCAGAAAACUGUGAUGUCAAAAAAAAUCUACAAUAUAUUUAUGUAGAAAUUGUGGUAUUACCUGUAACCCCACUCAUUGUCAUACCAAGCGACAAGCUUCACAGAGUUGUCAUUCAAAGCAAUUCCAGCCUUGGCAUCGAAAAUGCUCGACCUGCAGCAUAACAUGUAUGCACUCCCUCAGAGCCUCAAUCAAUUAACUGAAGUAAAGAAUAGGGCCGUUACCUAACCAAGUGCUGCAGGUUUUAUAGAGGCAACAUGUCACAGUCAGCAAUAUUCUGUCAUUCUCACCUAUGGUUACUCACAAAGUCAGUGGACACCAAAUCAUCGUCUAUGUAUCCUAGGAUUCCCUUUAGGUUAUUGAAAGGAAACUCAGAUCAUUGAGGAGAUAGAGUUGAGCAUGCCUUGAAAGACAAGCAAGUUAUAUCAUCAAAAAGAAAAAUAGGCAUAGAGAUGCACCAAAAUAUGAAACCAAGCAAGUCUUUAGUAGUUUAGUGUGUUUCAAAUUCUAUAAGAAACCAAAGUGGAUGGCCUGAUCCUUACUUGAUAGCACUUUUAAUCUCAUCAUAUGUAGCCUUCUUCUCAAGUCUUACUGUGAGGUCAACCACGGGCACAUCAACAGUGGGAACCCUGAAGGCCAUUACUGUCAACUUCCCAUUUAGCGCAGGCAGCACUUUACCAACACCCUAUAAAUCAAACCAAAACUAGUUCUGAAAAUUUCCCAAAUCUUUUAGACAGCAUUAGAGAAUCAUACGAACUCUGAAGACAUACAUUACAUCUACCAACACAAGGUGUUAGGGGUCCAAUAUAAUACCUCGGCAGCUCCAGUACUAGUUGGAAUGAUGUUACGGCCAGCAGCUCUACUAUCUCUCCAGUCUUUCAUUAGUGGACUACCAACAGUCCUUUGAGUAGCUACAUCACAUAUCAAAGGAACCUUCAACCAAUGAUUCAUUACAGUCUAGCUUGCUUAGAAUCAAAUGAGCAUACUAUACAUUCUCACCAGUAACUGAAUGGACAGUCAUAAGACCCUCUAUGAGACCAAAUUUAUCGUGGAUAACCUACCAAGACAUGUACAUUGAUACAGUAAACGUACAUGAGAAAAUUAACCAGUUGAUUGAAGCACUAGCUAGCUGAUAUUGAUUUGAUUACGACAAUAAUAAGAAAUGAAGUAGAGCAAGGCAGUGAGUAGUGCAGCUUGCAUUCGAAACAAUGCUAAGAUCUGGAGUGUAGUCCUUCUCAUUAACACCCACAACAAACAUGGGAAACUCGUCACUUCUGGCGCAGAAAUGAUUACUUUCUUUGCACCAGCCUAUGUAAUGGAACAUGUAUCUAUGAGCAACAAAAUCUUCAUGAACAUGUAUACAAGCAUGUGAAAAUUUUUAACGUCAGGUGGCGUAAUGCUCUCUCCUGAUCCGAGUUAACUCCGCUGGACUCGACGACAAAUUCAGCACCACCAUCUUCCCAUGGGAUUUCAUUAGGUAAGGUAAACAAACAACUAUAAACAAGCCAAAGUGAAAUUUCAUUGUUCUUGUUAACUACCAAUUAAACACGAGUGGGAGUGUAAUUAAGAAAAUAUCACCAAAGAGAAGUGUGCUUUCAUCCUUAACCUUAAGCUCGCCAUGCUUCCACUGCCCAUGAACACUGUCGUACUUUAACAUGUAGCUCUGAGAAGAUGGGAUUAGUUAAUACAUGCAACCCCUUUGUCGAGAAUUAAGUUACCUAAUACACAAUAACACAAAUUCAACUCGAUCCACAAUAGUGGAGAAUUUGGGUGAUGCCAUUUACGAAAUUCCUCCACCGGCGAUAGACAAAAUGUUUGAUGAAAUGUUUCAAAAAGAUAAAGAUGAACACUAUAUUCACUACUAGCAAAAUGAAGUUUCACACAGAUUUAAAUCAGUGUUAAAUAUGGCUAUCUCACACAGACAUCCGUGUGAGAAAGUCAUUAGUCACGCUACACUCACGAAUUGUCUAUCCGUGCUGUUUGCAGGGGGGCUAAUGCUCAACACACACAGAUAAAAAAGUCCGUGCGAAUAGUUGACGUGGGCCCCAACAUAUAUCCACAAAACGUGAUUGCUUUAUGAGAGCUCAUUCAGUGAGAACAACUUUGUAAUUCACACAGAUAUCUGUGCGAAUUAGUAUGAUAUAUUCACACAGAUAACUGUGUAAAUAUAAUUCACUUAAAUUUGUGAGGUAACUUAUUCACGGAUAAAUGUGUCAAUUUUGUCUACUUUAAUUCACACUAUUUCCUGUGAAAUAGGGAUAGCAUUAAAAAAAUAUAUAAUUUCAAAUACUAAUUUCUUGCUCAUAUUUUUCCACUAUAUAUGUAUAUAUUUCAUUCUAUUUACAAUCAAACAUUCAAACAACACAAAUCCACAACUCCAUCCAUAACAUAACAUUUGACAUUUCCAUAAAAAUGUAUAUAGUUUACAUUCCUACCAACAUAGUUUACAUACCCUAAUUUUUACAAUUCUUGGAUUACAAAACAAGGCUGCUUUUCUAGAAUACAAUGUUGUUCAAGGUGGAAAACCACUAAGAAUUUCCCCCUAAGAACAACAUAAUCCUUGUCCAAGAAUAGAUUUCAUCAAAGCAGACAUAGAUAGAACCAUCAAAAUAGAUAAUGACAUAUUGGGGUGAACUAACCAAAUUAGCAAGGCUGCAAACGACGAACCGUUUGAGGCAUUUCGGGCCGAUACACAUCAUUGAUAUCUGGGGUUGGGAUCACAUUUCUACUGCCUUCUGGUUGUGUUGGCUCCAUUUGUGGUGCCGUCUCAAUUUGCAAAAAAUCCAGCAUCUCUCAGCAGUCUACCCAUUUCAUAUGUAGCUAGUUCGGUCACCUUCUUUACCAUAAGUAUUUCUUGCUGCCUUUUAAAGUCCUCCAUUUGUGCAAUGAGUCUUUUCUCCAUAUCAAAGUUUUUCCUUUCUUACGAUAUGUCAACUUGAAGAUUUCCAACCUAUUAGGUUGUUCCUCAACCCUAUUAUGAACUUGCUGCAAUGUAGGAUACGCAUAGAAUUAAACAUCAAUCAAUUGACACAUAAUAUACAUUAACAUGAUAACUCACCCAUUCAUAUACAACUACUGAAAAAGUCCUUGUGCCUGUACUGUGAUGCAUUACCCUUUGCGAGUGAUUACUGACAUUAAUAUCAGCCUUGGUCUGUAAAGAACAUUAAUAUCAGCCUUCACAUAUUAUUUUGGUAUGUAAAGGACACUCAUACAUUAAAUUACUCAUCAUACAUAUUAUAUUGAUGAACAUUGAAAACGUGAGAAAUGCAUCAAUACCUGAGUAUCCUCAUCAUCUAAGUGAGUAACAAAAGCUUUCCAUUGAUCACUAUCUAUGGAAGACAAAGGGCAUUGAAAACGCUCAUCAGUUCCUUUGUUGGGCACCCAAUACAAUUUUUUCAAGUCUGCCUUGUGGUGCUUCCAGCGAUCUAAGAGCUCUCAAGUGCAUAUUUCUUGAUUUUAGAUUUCUUAGCAACAGUGUCAGCCUCAGACCAAUCAAUUGUCCCCUACAAUUCCAAAUAUUAUAAUCCCUUAUUAAUUAGAUGAAUCAACCUAUCAAUAUAAUUCUAGAUUACCAGUUUACAUACCUCAAUAUGCAACCAUGCCUUUCCAAGGUCGUUAUCAACAUCAAAGUGACGCCAAUCCUUGACGUCAAUUGAGAAAUAAACGCCAUCAGUUGCCAAACUACCAAGGAAAUGGCGGUAAUGUGCACACUUAUCCCUUGGCCACACAGGUGCCCCAUACAUUCCCCACUUAACCCGUUCUCUCACUCCGCCCACUGCCCAUUUUCCAAUCGUUUUCCCUCACCCUCUUUUCUUAUUACCGCGACUAGCUUCACUACUUCUAUUUUCAGUAGGAGCUGUUGGUUGAGGCACAAAUAAACAACCAACAUCUUGAGUUUCACUGUCAUCAUAUUGGACGCUGUCAUGGAGCGAUUCCAGGCCAUCAUCAGCUAACUGAAAAUCCAUGUCAUAAUGGGACAUUCUGCAAUUAAACAAACACUGAGAUACUGUAAUAGCUGUUGUUAAGCAUCUAGGUUGAUAUUGUAAUCAUUGUCAUAGCUGCUGUUACAAUUCUAGAUUGAUAUCAUACUUGUAUAUAUUCAGAUUCUAGUUUCCCAACAACAUAUUCAAUUCGUAAUUCCAAUUUUCACCAAAGCUUAACCUCAUUCCACCAAAUCAAAAUUAAUUCGGCAUAUAACUUGGUUAGAAAUCCCUCUCAAUAAACCUGAUGGAUAUGAAAAUUAGCAUAGAAAUUCACAGCCAAUUUAUAGAUCUACAAACCCAAAUGACCGUGUACUUUACCCGUUCAGUAUGCUCAUAGAGUUAGUGAACGAAUAUCUCGUACCUUUAUCGGCUUUCGGCACAACGGUGGUGGUAGGAUCUGAGUCAGUGAUCGGACGUUCCUUUACCAGCUUCCGGCACAACGGUGGUGGUGGGAUCUGAGUCGGCGAUCGGAGCCUCUUGCAGCAGUCCUUGUUCCUUUUUUGUGUGAUUGUGGAAAGACUAAGAGUAAAUAGAGUAAAUAGAGACCCAAACGGCGUUGUGUUCUAGGCAUGUUAUUCCCUCUUUUUUUAUUGUUCUUUAAGGUAGGCACUUUAGUGUCCGUGUGGGUAUCCAGUUUUGAGCGGAAAUUUCCAGCAAAUUUGAGUAUCCAGUUUUGAGCGGCAAUACACCCCUACAUUAUUUCAUACGGAUUUUUGUGAAACUGUAGAAUAUUUCUCACGGAUAUCUGUAGGUAUAACACACCUCAGUAAAACUGAUAGUUGGUAUGUUAAAAUUUCACACUGAUGUCCGUCCUUAGGAAUUGACCUACAGAAGUCUGUGUCAAAUUUAGUUAUUCACACAGAUAUCUGUGUAAACAUUACACACGGUUAAAUGUGUAAUUAGCAUUGCAUACGGAUAUUUGUGAGAAUUAAGAUUAGUUACGCAAUACUGUAAAUAUGUGGUUUAUAUAAUUGAAAAAGAUAAAUAUUUCUAAUAUUUCAUUGUCACAGAUAUUUGUGUGACUUGUAAUACACACAGAUAACUGUGUGAACUAUUAUUAUCAUGUUUCACAUACACACUUUAUUCCGUGUCUAAUAUUUUUUCACACAAAUUUAUGUUGCAGUUAUAUUUGUAUAAAGUAAUGUGGGUCUGAAAAAGUCUAUUCCACAUAGUUAUAUGUGUCAUUGAGAGUUUGUCAUAGAUUUCUGUGAGUUUAAAGUAAUAUGUGAGAAUAGAAUCCGUGUGAGAUGUUUUUUUGCUAGUAGUGAUUCAUGUAGUUAACUGGUUGAACAUACACAUACCAUGUGAUCAGCAGUCAAGAAAGGAUCGUUUAUGGCAACGAGUUCAAUGUCGUCUCUCUGCAGAGCGACUCUGGCCACCGUCCGGCCAAUCCUUCCGAAUCCUUCAUUCACAACAUAAUCUCCACUGAAGACAAAUGAUAUGAUAAAAAUACUGAACAAACCAGUGAAGAGAGACACCAAUACCAUUGAUGCCAAUCUUGAUCUUGGCCAUGGGUAACAAUGUUUAUGCUUUGUUAAACCCAAAGAGAGUGAACCAGGGAGGACGGCAUGUGUUUGUGAUCAAGAUGGGGGAUCACUGUUAAAUUUGAGAGAUGAAUUGGUUAAAAGAAAAGGGUAUGAGAAGUAAAAAAAUACUAGAAAGAUGGGCCUUGAAAUGUACAUUUGUUUUUACAUAAAAAAAAUUUAAAAAAGUACAUUUGUUUUAUACAAUGUAAAACAAAUUGAAGCAAGUGCGACUUCAUCUGCAGUCGGGCUCUGAUCGCCAACCUCGCAUUCUUUUCUAGUUUUGAGUUCUCUGCUCGCACAUCUCACUGGCGCCAUCUUCACGCUUCUGAUCGUCGUUGCCCUCUCAGCCCCGAUUUGCAGUCUUUGGUAACCGAUUCGGUACUAGUCUCUCUCUCUCAACUGUGUGUUUAUUGCUUUGAUCUGGUUGGAUGUAGAAGUAGGGGAGAUGAUUUGACAGUGCUAGAUGGAUAUUAUAUGUGAAUACUCUGGGCUUCUAAAUCUGAUGGUACUUUGAGAUGGUGAUUUGAGGAUAUAUAUAUGGGUGCUUUGGCUCCAAUUAUAGAGGAUUUGAUAAUUUCUUUGUUGAUUCGGUCACCUCUCUCACUUGAAUCAUGAAAUUUCUCUAUGGUAUGGGUUGUUGUGCUUCAAUUCGCCAGUUUUCCAGUUUUUCUUUUCAUAUCAAGGUUUGUUUGCCGUCAACCAAAAGAAAAAGGUGACGAUGCAGUUUAUAUUUUCUUUUUGUUUGUGGACUGGUGAGUGUGGCUUGAUAAUUUGGAUUAUGGAUUGGUUCUCUAGCUCUAGUGUGAAGUACAUGUCUGAAUUUGGUGAAGUAGUUUCUGAUUACUCUGAUAUUUGGAAGUUGCUGCAUUCAAUUGAAAUUUGCCUCAGACAUUCUGCAGUAUUCUAUUCUAGUUAUAUGUGCUUCAUCUGUUAAUGGUUGCUUUAGCAUCACUCACUGAUAUCUAGAUUGAGCAUCAAUAGCUUCCGACUUGUGCUUUGGCUUAUCAAUUUCUCAUGCACCCACCUCAGUGAGCAUUAUAUUCUUCAGCAGAAUUGGUAAUAUCCUCCCAAUUUUCCCACCCUAUCAUUGGAUUUGUGGAAUUGAUUUCUGGUUUAAUUUGCUCUGUCAGUAUCAUCAGUUUGUCAUUUUCCUUUUAUAUCAAAGUUUGUGUCUGCCAUCAACCAAAGAAAAGGUGAUGAAGCAGUUUUAUAUUUUCUUUUUGGUCUGGUGAAUUGGCUUGGCAAGUUGGACUAUAAAUUGGUUGUAUGGCUCUAUGUGCUGGAUGUGUUGAGUUUGGAGGAGGUUUCCAUAUUUGAUGAGGAAUUUGAAAUUUGCUAUGGAAUUUGCUGUGCCUACUGUUUCUGGUGUGGUUACAUUGCUGCUGAUAUGGUGUUUGGAUGAAUCCCCUAGUAGAGAUGAGGUUAUGCAAAAUAGAGAUGAGGUAGAGAUGAGUUGCUGGUUAUAUAUGAGUGCAUAUGGAGUUGAUAAUUAAGGCAGAAUUCUUCUAAUGUUUGUGCAAGAAGCUUUAUAUGGUUACUGGUAGGGUGCAAGUGUUUCGGAUAUGACAAGAUUCAAGUUCUUAUGGCAACAUAUGCAGCUUUUCAGUUUUUCAGAUUACAAUUGAAGAAAAAUAAUAAAAUAUAUGCAGUUUUCAGAUUUGGAAUUUUUUUUUUCAGUUUUACAUAGUUUGCUGCUAUGCUACUGGGUUUAUUCUUUAUCAUGUUGCACUACUACCAGUGAGAUUCUUCCAGCAAGCUCUUUGUCCUGUUUUAUAUACCUGCUGCAAAUCAAGAUGGAAGCUAGUCUUAUCAUAUCAUGUAGGGUUUUUGAAUUGGAUGUUAUCUUGUAAUUGGCUAUAGCUGUGUAUUUUUCCAACCAGUAUGCUUGUUACCAAGCAUGUGUAGCACUUAUAUUAGUCUUUUGGCUUGUAAUACCUAUUGCCUAGCUGAGUUGUACUGUUCUCCUUAUCUAAGAAUUCACAAUGUAGUCCUUUACAGAUUCAACGUUUUCCUUGACUGCUUCCUUUUAUUUUCUGCAUCUGGCUUCAAUAAUCCAUGAUUUCUAGAAUCCUAUCAAGGUUUAAUUGUUGUUUUGGAUCCUGCUAAUGAUAAUUAUAGUAGGAUUUAUGUAGUCAUCCGUAAGAAGUCUAUUAAUUUUUUGUCUCAACUUCAAGCCUCAAACUCGAUCAAUGUACUUUGCAUAUUAGAGUGAAAAUUGCAAACUGAAUUAAUUGUGAAUCAAAUGUAUUCGGUACAAUUGUGGUAGGCGCCUAGGCGGGUAGAUACUGUAGUAUGAAUUAAACAGGUAGCUCAUUCAUGAUCUGGUUCUUGUUUUGUGAUUCAUGCUCAGUCCAGCGGCAUAUCCUGAUGAUCAGCUCCUUCAGUCUUUCAGAGGCACGAACAGUUCCUGCAACUGCGAAACUCUCCAUCAAGUCGCCACUCAUCACGAUUAGCUUCUCUUUCAAUUCACCAAUGGCUAGAACAAGAGCUGAGACUCCACUUUCACAUAAUGUUUUCAAGUAUUGGUAUGACUUGCUCGCAACACUAACAAAACAGAUGCUCCAGAUGAAGAGAACGAGCCAACCAAAAGGUGGAAAGAGGAUGAGCAGCUCUAAAGUGAAAGCCAGAGUUCCCAACAUGAUGAUAAUCCUAUUCAUGAAUUUACGAAAGUCUACUGUACUGUGAUCAUUUUGGAGUAUCAUGACACCUAUUGACCCAAAGUAAGCCGAUACGUCGAUAACAAACAACCUCAUCAAUAGUGUGUCUGGAGAUGAAUUUGCAAAUUUCAAUUGGAGGCAAAAGCCAAGGAUGGUGAUGAGAGAAACAAUACAUUUGUUCAAUCCCACCAUAGAUUUGCUCCUAGGUGCACCCUGCUCCAUUCUGUUAUACCAUAAGAAAAUUGAUCGAGUUAAAAAUUAUUUAUCAAAUUAGUGAAAAAUAUCGACUAUCGCUACGAAUGAGUUGCAGCUAGCUAGGAAGGUUUAUCCAUUGCCUUUGUUCCUCCUAGCUACAUGGAAUUUCCCUAUAUAUAUUCUUCAAUAUCUGAAAGAGAUACUUGAGUUUUAAUGAUGAAAAAUCAAUUGAGCAUGUUGAUUAUGCGCAGUAAGAAGGUAAUAUUGGAUUUAAUUUCACCAACUUCAGACUACAAUUUGAAGGAAACCCAAUUAAAUGGAGAACAUAAUGUAUUUCCCCUCGGUAAUAUGCUAGAGUUCCUCAGUAUAAUUGAGCAAGAAGCAUGAAAUGGAGACGACAACGACGGAGACUGAACAGAAAUAGGUAGCUAGGAGUUGCGACAGCAUGCAGUAGCUCUACAUUUCUAUCAACAGGUCUAAAGCAUGAAGAUAUUAAUAUUAACGGAAACCAUGAAGAUCAUAAGCAAGGGAAAGAAUAUAUAAGCUAAGACUACUAAAGCAUGCAAAAUAUAUUGUAUCUAGUAAGAUGACUAACACUGGCAAGUGAACAGAAUUCCGCAGCUUCUCGAUCUCUGUGGAGCUCAAACCUUCCUCCCUCUCGCUUCUUACUUCCUUGGGAUAUGUAAGAACUCCCUUGGGAUAUAUAAGAAAUGAAGUUAUAAGUUGCAGGGGUAUAAUAGUUGCAGCUUCUUACUUAAUAGUUGCAGCGCUUCUUUCCCUGAGGGGUGAUUAUAAAGGGUGAUUUCUUCCCACCAAUGUUUGAGAGUCGUAUAAGUUUGAGAGUAGUUUAUGAAUGUGCAGCAGUCCCGUUCGCCUGGACCAUAACCGUCAGAUCAAGCCGUCAGAUCAAGCCUCAUUUAAAUCCUAGGGUGGAGAUAUAAUCAGCAAUAGGGCUGUGUUUUUGGAUUUCUUAAUGCAUUUUGGACCUUGGCUUGAUCUGACGGUUAUACGACUCUCAAACUACUCUCAAACUUAUACGACUCUCAAGGAUACCAUCUUAACCCACCAUGCUUAUGUCUCCCAGGAAGAGCUCAAGCAUACCAUCUUAACCCACCAUGUUUGAGGGUCCCACAACGACUUCUCAAGGAUGCCAUCUGCCCCCCCCCCCCCCCCCCCCCGUCUUAACCCACCAUGUUUGAGGGUCCCACAACGACUUCUCAAGGAUACCAGCGGAUGUCGAUAUUUUUCACUAAUUUGGAUCAAAUGAGUUGCAUUCAUACUGUUUUGGAUCAAAUGAGUUGCAUUCAUACUGAAGAAGUUACAAGCGGUAUGAAUAAUACAAAACAGAAUCACUAAUGAACCAUUUAUAACAAACAUCGGACCAAAGGGCCCGACCCUAACUUCCUACUGGAGUUAAAUCUCUUGUACACCAUGAGGCUAGGAAAAUGAUCAUCAAGACCAGAUGACUCAACUGACAUAUUGCCAAUGAAGUUGGUAACGAAGCAUCGAAAUUCUGACAAGGCAGUGACUUCUAACGGUGAGGUACGAACUUGUUAACGGCAACAAACUUGAGGUAGUUAAAUGAAAGAAUUUGAUAGUUGGGUAUCAAAUUGAAGAUAGCCCUAUAGUUCGGGUGUGGUUUUUGUAAAUAAUUUAUUUUCCUAAGUCAUAACUCUGCCAUAGUGUCAUUUUCCAAACUCUGCCAUAGUGUCAUUUUCCAAACUCUGCCUUAGUGUCAUUUUCAAAGAAAUGAACCAAAUGAGUCAUAUAUAUACUCAUGAUUAUACGAACCAGGUGAUUACAAAAAACACAAGUACUCAUAAACCUUGCACAAUGUUUUGAAGGGGCCAGAACUGUUGGAUAUGUGGAAUUCCUCUCCCAACUGGUUAUUUGUAUUCAUAAAGCUCUUCUAGUGAGGACCCUUGAGGAUUUUUCGGCUUAUCCCACCUUUCGAGCUUAUAUCCACAUCUUGAUUGUUCAGUUUAUAGGUAUUUAUGAGUAGAUCAUUUCAUCAAAUUUUCAGCUAUGUUGAAAAUUGUUAAGACAUUCAUAAGUGUGAUUUAUCAAUUAUGAACUUAAACGGUUCAUAUUUGACAGAUUUGGUUCGUCCAUUAAUUUGAUCUAAUUUGUUAUCUGAACGGAUGAGAUGUCAAAAUGUGAUCGAAAAUUAGGUCUUUUAAACUAUAAACCGAAAAGUCUUCACCAAGUCCUCAACUUAAGGGUCCUUACUAGAAGGGCUCCCAUUUGUAUUCAUCAUUCAUCAGUCUCUCUAUACUAUUCAUCUGCUUUUCUUUUCUUCUUUUUUUUGGAGGUGAAGAACAAUCUUAACACAAAUCAAAGCAAAACCAAAAUCUCUCGUGUUUGCUCAUUCAAUUUUGGAUUAACAAUAGAAGAUUGGUACUGAAGGCCUCCCAAACAAAAUAUGUAACACUCAAGAGUCAGCAGAACUAUUCCAAUAAAAAAAUCUGUAGCCAUGGUUGAAACCUAGCUAGCUGCAUGCAAUGGUGAUUUAGGAACUGACAUUGCUUAUGCAACUGUGGCCAUGUGACAGAUCAAGUCGAUAACUCGUGAGCUGCAAUACACCGUGUUCAUCAGAAAACUGUGAUGUCAAAAGAAAUUUACAAUAUGCUUAUGUAGAAAUUGUGGUAUUACCUGUUACCCCACUCAUUGUCAUACCAAGCGACAAGCUUCACAAAGUUGUCAUUCAAAGCAAUUCCAGCCUUGGCAUUGAAAAUGCUCGACCUGCAGCAUAACAUGUAUGCACUCCCUCAGAGCCUCAAUCAAUUAACUGAAGUAAAGAAUAGGGCAGUUACCUAACCAAGUGCUGCAGGUUUUAUAGAGGCAACAGGUCAGAGUCAGCAAUAUUCUGGCAUUCUCACCUGUAAGUGGUUACUCACAAAGUCAGUGGACACCAAAUCAUCGUCUAUGUAUCCUAGGAUUCCCUUUAGGUUACCCUCAGAUUCUUCCCUGAAUUUCACAAUUGAAGGAAACUCAGAUGAUUGAGGAGAUAGAGGUGAGCAUGCCUUGAAAGACAAGCAAGUUACAUCAUCAAACAGAAAAAUAGGCAUAGAGAUGCACCAAAAUAUGAAACCAAGCAACUCUUUAGUAGUUUAGUGUGUUUCAAAUUCUAUAAGAAACCAAAGUGGAUGGCCUGAUCCUUACUUGAUAGCACUUUUAAUCUCAUCAUAUGUAGCCUUCUUGUCAAGUCUUACUGUGAGGUCAACCACGGACACAUCAACAGUGGGAACCCUGAAGGCCGUUCCUGUCAACUUCCCAUUUAGCGCAGGCAUCACUUUACCAACACCGUAUAAAUCAAACCAAAACUAGUUCUGAAAAUUUCCCAAAUCUUUUAGACAGCAUUAGAGAAUCAAACGAACUCUGAAGACAUACGUUACAUCUACCAACACAAGGUGUUAGGGGUCCAAUAUAAUACCUCGGCAGCUCCAGUACUAGUCGGAAUGAUGUUACGGCCAGCAGCUCUACUACCUCUCCAGUCUUUCAUUAGUGGACUAUCAACAGUCCUUUGAGUAGCUACAUCACAUAUCAAAAGAACCUUCAACCAAUGAUUCAUUACAGUCUAGCUUGCUUAGAAUCAAAUGAGCAUACUAUACAUUCUCACCAGUAACUGAAUGGACAGUGGUCAUAAGAAAAUUAAUCGUGGAUAACCUACCAAGACAUGUUCAUUGAUACAGUUAACGUACAUGAGAAAAUUAACCAGUUGAUUGAAGUACUAGCUAGCUGAUAUUGAUUUGAUUAGGACAAUAAUAAGAAAUGAAACCUUUGCCAGUGGAGCAAGACAGUGAGUAGUGCAGCUUGCAUUCGAAACAAUGUUAAGAUCUGGAGUGUAGUCCUUCUCAUUAACACCCACAACAAACAUGGGAAACUCGUCACUUGGCGCAGAAAUGAUUACUUCUUUGCACCAGCCUAUGUAAUCGAACAUUGUAUAUAUGAGCAACAAAAUCUUCAUGAACAUGUAUACAAGCAUGUGAAAAAAAUUUACCGUCAGGUGGCGUGAUGCUCUCUCCUGAUCUGAGUUAACUCCGCUGGACUCGACGACAAAUUCAGCACCACCAUCUUCCCAUGGGAUUUCAUUAGGUAAUUAAGGUAAACAAACAACUAUAAACAAGCCAAAGUGAAAUUUCAUUGUUCUUGUUAACUACAAGAGUGGGAGUGUAGCUGGCGUAUAAAUAUUAAUUAAGAAAAUAUACCUAGAAUCAUAAACCUUGACAGCCUUAUCACCAAAGAGAAGUGUGCUUUCAUCCUUAACCUUAAGCUCGCCAUGCUUCCACUGCCCAUGAACACUGUCUUACUUAAACAUGUAGCUCUGAGAAGAUGGGAUUAGUUAAUACAUGCAAACCCUUUGUCGAGAAUUAAGUUACCUAAUACACAAUAACACAAGUUCAACUCGAUCCACAAUAGUGGAGAAUUUGGGUGAUGCCAUGUAGGAAAUUCCUCCAUCGGCGAAAGACAAAAUGUUUGAUGAAAUGUCUCAAAAAGUUAAAGACGGACACUAUAUUCAUGUAGUUAACUGGUUUUACAUACACAUACCAUGUGAUCAGCAGUCAAGAAAGGAUAGUUUAUGGCAACGAGUUCAAUGUCGUCUCUCUGCAGAGCAACUCUGGCCACCGUCCGGCCAAUCCUUCCGAAUCCUUCAUUCACAACAUAUAAUCUCCAUUCAACACAAAUGAUAUGAUACAAAUACUGAACAAACCAGUGUAGAGAGACACCAAUACCAUUGAUGCCAAUCUUGAUCUUGGCCAUGGGUAACAAUGUAUAUGCUUGUCAAACCCAAAGAGAGUGAACCAGGGAGGACGGCAUGUGUUUGUGAUCAAGAUGGGGGAUCACUGUUAAAUUUGAGAGAUGAAUUGGUUAAAAGAAAAGGGUAUGAGAAGUAAAAAAAANNNNNNNNNNNNNNNNNNNNNNNNNNNNNNNNNNNNNNNNNNNNNNNNNNNNNNNNNNNNNNNNNNNNNNNNNNNNNNNNNNNNNNNNNNNNNNNNNNNNNNNNNNNNNNNNNNNNNNNNNNNNNNNNNNNNNNNNNNNNNNNNNNNNNNNNNNNNNNNNNNNNNNNNNNNNNNNNNNNNNNNNNNNNNNNNNNNNNNNNNNNNNNNNNNNNNNNNNNNNNNNNNNNNNNNNNNNNNNNNNNNNNNNNNNNNNNNNNNNNNNNNNNNNNNNNNNNNNNNNNNNNNNNNAAUUUAAUUAUUAGAACAACAAAGUAAUCGGAGAAUAAGAAACAAAGGUAGAGUUGGCCUAGUGGUUAGGUCACUCAUCACUCGCACUUUUUUUUAUCACAUGGGUUGCAUUCAUACGGAAGAAGUUACAAACGGUAUGAAUAAUACAAAACAGAGCCACUAAUAGACCACUUAAUAGACUACUUAUAACAAAUAUCGGACCAAAGGGCCCGACCCUAAUUUCCUACUAGAGCUAAAUCUCUUGUACACCAUGAGGCUAGGAAAAUGGUCAUCAAGACCAGAUGACUUAACCGACAUAUUGCCAACGAAGUUGGUAACGAAGCAUCGGAAUUCCAACAAGGCAGUGGCUUCUAUCGCUUGAAGAAAUAAGAACAUGAGUCAAUUCCGCCUCCUGAGUAGUGAAUACUCGUGAUAAAGAACUGGUGAAAACCAUCAUUACUCAUUAGCUGUGUUUGUAAUGAGCCAAUCAAGCAGAACGACCACAAAGGAUCAAAAGAGCUAAACACACAAACAAAACAAAAGAUAAAAACAGUACACACAUAAACAUAAUGAACUGCAGCAGCCCAGCCUUGACCACCGAGCCCAAAUCUCAACAUAGGCCCAGAUAUCUGUAGCCUACCCAAAACUAGACUUAGUCCAUGGCCUAGAUUCGCUUCACCUGCCUGCUUCUGUCGAACCACCACUCCUUCAUCAACACCUUCGCCAGCUUGCCCCAAGCUAUAUAUAGAUCGAGCUUCCCACACUAGCCUGCACAACUCAGAUCGACGGGCCGGGGCCGCCACCAUCAGAUUCGCGGCCAAAGCUUCCAAACUCGGUUGCACUUCCCUGAGAUAACUCGCCGUAACCCAACCAGAGACCCGAUAUGACCUCAAAUCAUCUAUCGAUCUCUAAUGCUUCCAUGAGAAACUCAGACAGACCUGAUCCGAACAGAAGGAAACCGGAUCAGGUACUAUGGACGUGUUAUGAUUGUAGUCUUUCCAAUUGGUCAAGUAGGAAUUAUAAGUACCAAUUAUAAGUACCAAGUCAGGUGCUACAAGUAGUUUUGGAAGCAGAAGUAGCAGGAUGGAGGGUGGCAAUGCAGUGAGAUCAAGUGGAACAAACGCCAGUAGCAAGGUGCUGUCAGAUUCAGAAUACGCAGCAAGGAGGGCAAGGAACCAGUGUUAUUUUUGUGAGGAGACUUACACUAGAGGUCAUAAUUGCAGGAAGAAGGGUCAGUUGAUGAUCAUGGAAAUUGUACCCGAUGAGGAGGUAAGUAAUGAAACUGAUGACCCAGCAAGAGAUGGGGCAGGCAAGGAGUUAGUGGAGGUUCCACCAAUUGUGGACACUGAGGAACCAUUGAUUAGAUUGCAAGUUCUGUCUGGGGGUAGCUCAACAACAAUGCAGUUAAAGGGAUGGUUUAAUAAGAAGUCGGUGCAUGUAUUGAUUGACUCUGGUAGCAACACAUAAUUUCAUACAUCCUCAGUUGCUGAAAGGAGCAAAAGUGCAAGUGCAUGAGCUAGCACCAUUGAAUGUUUUGUUAGCUAGUGGAGCGAAAAUGCAAACUCAUGGAGAAGCACAGCUACAGCUGCAGCUGCAAGGUUAUAAGUUUGAUGCAGAUUAUUAUGUGUUACCAGUGACAGGUUGUGAGGUUGUGCUAGGUACCAGUUGUGCUAGGUGAUAUAACAUGGAAUUUUGAGGUCAUGAGGAUGCGGUUUACAAUACAGGAGUGUGAACAUCAGUUGCAAGGAGAGACAAAACCUGAGGCCACAGUCAUUUCUUGUAAAUCCAUGACCAGGUUGUUAAGGAAGGAAAGAGAAGCAAUGCUAGUUCAAGUAGCACCAGCAAUGUCUAACCAAAAAGUGAAUCCCUACCCUGAGCAGUUGCAACCAGUGAUCACUAAAUAUACAGAAUUAUUUCUACCACCUACUGCAUUACCACCUGUCAGAGAUCAUGAUCAUAGGAUUGAGUUGCUCCCAAACACCACACCAAUUAGUGUCAGACCAUAUAGAUACCCACACUUUCAGAAGGCAGAGAUAGAGAAAAUAGUGCAGGAACUUUUGGAAAAUGGAGUGAUUAAACCAAGUGUGAGUCCCUACUCAUCACCGGUAUUGCUUGUGAAGAAAAAAGAUGGGACUUGGCGAAUGUGCANNNNNNNNNNNNNNNNNNNNNNNNNNNNNNNNNNNNNNNNNNNNNNNNNNNNNNNNNNNNNNNNNNNNNNNNNNNNNNNNNNNNNNNNNNNNNNNNNNNNNNNNNNNNNNNNNNNNNNNNNNNNNNNNNNNNNNNNNNNNNNNNNNNNNNNNNNNNNNNNNNNNNNNNNNNNNNNNNNNNNNNNNNNNNNNNNNNNNNNNNNNNNNNNNNNNNNNNNNNNNNNNNNNNNNNNNNNNNNNNNNNNNNNNUUUGCUGGGAAAUCAUUUCAGAAUUCUGACUGAUCACAGAACUAUACAAUAUUUCCUUGAGCAGAAGAUUACAACCCCUACACAACAGAAGUGGUUAUUGAAGCUUGUUGGCUAUGAUUACACCAUUCAAUAUAAACCAGGAAAGAAUAAUGCAGCCUCUGAUGCACUAUCAAGGAGAGAAGAACUCACACGUGACCUGGAACCUAUUUCUAAGUACAGUACCCUUUCAACAAUGACUGGAGUGUCAUCACCAGUUCAUGACUAUGUGCUGGAAAUUCAGAAGGCAUGUGAGAGGGAUGCUGAAACUCUUUCAAUCUUACAACAGCUAAGGGAAGGUACAAAUCCUCCAAGGUCUUUUACUCAACUUCACUCUCAGUUAUUAUAUAAGGGCAGGAUCUUUGUGCCACAGUUGGAUAAUUGGAGACAAAAGGUUAUUGUUGAGUUUCAUGAAGGGUAUAAUGAGGGGCAUGCUGGUGUUGCAAGAACCCAUAAGAGAAUGUUCAGGUCUUUUGCUUGGCCUGGUAUGAAAGGAGAUAUUAAGUCUGUGGUUUCUACUUGUCACAUUUGUCAGCAGAAUCACUAUGAGACAGUCAAUCCUCCAGGGUUGUUGCAACCAAAUGUGAUACCGGACAAAGCUUGGACUCAAAUCUCUAUGGAUUUCAUUGAAGGCCUUCCAAAGUCAGCUGGAAAAACAGUACUCUUGGUGGUGGUUGAUAGAUUGACCAAGUAUGGUCACUUUAUACCAAUGUCACACCCUUAUACAGCUUCUACUGUGGCUCAACACUUUGUGAAGGAAGUUUUUUCGACUACAUGGAAUGCCAGAAUCUAUCAUAUCUGAUAGGGAUCCAAUCUUUCUCAGCAAAUUUUGGGAAGCAUUCUUCACCUUACAGGGAACUACUUUAAACAAAAGCUCCUCUUACCACCCACAAAGUGAUGGCCAAACUGAGAACCUGAAUAGGACAGUGGAGCAGUACCUCAGGUGUGUGGUUGGAGAAAGACCAAGUUCUUGGGUUGAAGCCAUACCAUGGGCUGAGUACUGGUACAACUCAGCUCAUCAUUCAGCCAUUGGCAUGACUCCAUUUAAAGCUCUAUAUGGAUAUGAAGCUCCAGCUGUGAAAGCUUAUGAGGUGGGUGGGACUGCAGUGGCAUCAGUGGAUGCUCAAUUACAAUUAAGAGAUGAGUUAUUGGCUAGUCUGAAGAGAAAUUUGCAAGUGGCUCAAUGCAGAAUGAAAAAUUUCUAUGACAAGCAUCACUCAGAGAGAAGUUUUGAAGUGGGAGAUUGGGUUUAUCUCAAACUACAACCUUAUCGGCAGCAGUCAGUGCAAAAGCGAUCCAGCCACAAACUAGCUCCAAGGUAUUGUGGCCCUUAUCUCAUUAUACAGAAGAUCGGAUAUGUUGCUUAUAAGCUGAAAUUGCCUGAUUCAUCAAAGGUUCAUCCAGUGUUCCAUGUGUCACUGCUAAAGAAGAAAAUGGGAGACUUUGUGGUGGUUGCUACACACUUGCCUCCUGACCUUGAUCCACAUAACCCUAGAUGGUACCCAGCAAAAGUUUUGGAAAGAGGGGUUUUCAGGAAGAACAAUGCACCAGUAACUAAAUGGUUGAUUAAAUGGCUUGGUGCUGCUGAGGAGGAGGCCACGUGGGAGGAAGCAGAUGACAUUCAACGCAGGUUCCCAGAUUUCACUGAUAAGUGAGCUUGAGGACAAGCUGUUUUUUGGGAGGGAUGAAUUGUUAUGAUUGUAGUCUUUCCUUGUCUAGUUUAACUAGGAGAAGUGUAGUUGGUCAGUGGUUGGUCCUCAGGUGCUAUGCACGUGAGACAGUUUAGUGUCUGUUUAGUUUAAUUAAGUCUAAUUAGCCGUUAAGUAUGGAUUAGAGUUGCAUUAGUAAUGGACCAUCAGUUGUGUGACACGUGGGCCUGUUCAUGUGUUGUUUAUCUGGGUAUAAAGACCCCCAACUGUACUCAGUUUGGUAGAGAAUGAAAAUCUGAAGUUUAUUUCCUUUUCUUUUCUUUCAAUUUGUUCUCAGUUUCUUCAGUUAGGGCUAAUACCUUAACAGGACGCCGGAACAACCACAAAAAUCCCAUGCUAGAACGAAUCUGAACCCUUCCCCUACCACCUCAGUUGGAUCUGCAACUUCCAAUCCCACCUCUUCCUUCCUUCCAACUCGCCCACCAACAUAGACAAAAAUAGGAGAAGAAGACGAGCAAAAAUGGCGCGCACUCCAGCUAAACGUUUCCUCUCCCAGGCUAAGACAUUAUGGCGAGGCCGCCUACAAUGUUUAGCUAGGAGAGAGAGGUUUUCUUUCUUAAUAGGGUUUUUUCCUUAGGCGCGUUCUAUUUUCUAAUGCCGCGUGUAUGUCGAUUGUCCUCAUCACUCACACUUGAGUUCACAGUUUCGAUCCCCCUUGUUGUUACAUCUACCAAUACAAGGUUUUAGGGGUCUAAUAUAAUACCUCGGCAGCUCCAGUACUAGUCGGAAUGAUGUUACGGCCAGCAGCUCUACUACCACUCCAGUCUUUCAUUAGUGGACUAUCAACAGUCAUUUGAGUAGCUACAUCACAUAUCAAAAGAACCUUCAACCAAUUAAUGAUUCAUUACAGUCUAGCUUGCUUAGAAUCAAAUGAGCAUACUAUACAUUCUCACCAGUAACUGAAUGGACUGCGGUCAUAAGACCCUCUACGAUACCAAAUUUAUCGUGGAUAACCUAUCAAGACAUGUAUAUUGAUACAGUAAACAUGAGAAAAUUAACCAGUUGAUUGAAGUACUAGCUAGCUGAUAUUGAUUUGAUUAGGACAAUAAUAAGAAAUGAAACCUUUGCCAGUGGAGCAAGACAGUGAGUAGUGCAGCUUGCAUUCGAAUCAAUGUUAAGAUCUGGAGUGUAGUCCUUCUCAUUAACACCCAUAACAGACAUGGGAAACUCGUCACUUGGAGCAGAAAUAAUUACUUUCUUUGCACCAGCCUAUGUAAUGGAACAUUGUACAUAUCAGCAACAAAAUCUUCAUGAACAUGUAUACAAGCAUGUGAAAUUUUUUUACCGUCAGGUGGCGUGAUGCUCUCUCCUGAUCUGAGUUACUCCACUGGACUCGACGACAAAUUCAACACCACCAUCUUCCCAUGGGAUUUCAUUAGGUAAGGUAAACAAACAACUAUAAACAAGCCAAAGUGAAUUUCAUUGUUCUUGUUAACUACCAAGUAAACACAAGAGUGGGAGUGUAAUUAAGAAAAUAUACCUAGAAUCAUAAACCUUAACGGCCUUUUCACCAAAAAGAAGUGUGCUUUCAUCCUUAACCUUAAGCUCGCCAUGCUUCCACUGCCCAUGAACACUGUCGUACUUAAAUAUGUAGCUCUGAGAAGAUGGGAUUAGUUAAUACAUGCAACCCCUUUGUGGAGAAUUAAGUUACCUAAUACACAAUAACACAAAUUCAACUCGAUCCACAAUAGUGGAGAAUUUGGGUGAAGCCCGGCGAAAGGUAAAAUGUUUAAUGAAAUGUCUCAAAAAAGUUAAAGACGGACACUAUAUUCAUGUAGUUAACUGGUUUUACAUAACCACGUGAUCAGCAGUCAAGAAAGGAUCGUUUAUGGCAACGAGUUCAAUGUCGUCUCUCUGCAGAGCAACUCUGGCCACGAUGCGGCCAAUCCUUCCGAAUCCUUCAUUCACAACAUAAUCUCCAUUCAAGACAAAUGAUAUGAUACAAAUACUGAACAAACCAGUGAAGAGAGACACCAAUACCAUUGAUGCCAAUCUUGAUCUUGGCCAUGGGUAACAAUGUUUAUGCUUUGUUAAACCCAAAGAGAGUGAACCAGGGAGGACGGCAUGUGUUUGUGAUGAAGAUGGGGGAUCACUGUUAAAUUUGAGAGAUGAAUUGGUUAAAAGAAGGAUUAAAUUCAGUUUGCCCCUUCGUACUUUAGGUCAAUAAUUAGUUUGGUCUCAUAUCUUUUUUUUUUUUUUAAUAACGUUGGUCCUUGAAGUUCUAUUUCACAUCAGUUUAGUCCAAUUUUUGAAUUGCCCUCCUUACCAUGACGUCAUACUCUGAGUUGUCCGCGACACAAAAGUCCAGUUUCUAACUUAAAAGGGUAAAAUAGUCAUUUUAUGAUAUACUAAAAUGAAAAUAACAACAUACAGUUCAUCAUCAAUCCUUCAACUCCCUCCGUUUCUGGAAUUUAAGCAAUAACUUAACUCUGUUCCAAUGCUACUGCCAAGCUCAACCAAACCCAGAAAAUCCUAACUCCUCCAUUCUUAAUUAAACCACCCUGCGCAAUAAUUGAACACUACCAAUAUCCCAAAACUCCAACUUCUUCAAUCUCAUCCCAAAAUCAAAACUGAUUAUCUCAUACAAAUUCAGUAUACUAACAAAGCCGGAAACCAAUUCCUUCAACCCCCACCGCCGCCGUGAACAACGUCACUCACGGCGGUCCUCCUCUACCUAAAACCUAAAUUCUCCCAAACAUCACCAAACUCAAUUCCAAUUAUAUACAGAGGUAGAGCUCGAAGAGAAGAUCAAGGUUCAUACCUCAAUUGCCUUCGACAGUGGCCGAAAAACACAUAAACUUGCCGGAAAACUGCUUGAGCUUCAAUUAAUCGAUUCUCAGUCAUGAAGGCUCCUCUGAAGAAAUCGAGACCACAUACAGAACGGGGAUGGCGAGACUAAGCUAUCCACACCAGUCACGCUCACCGCCGUGACCGGAAUCGGAAACCCGAUCGGAGAGGCAGUCACCUUCUCUCCUC
RNAcentral lists this long non-coding RNA (51134 nucleotides) under Fragaria vesca (wild strawberry). RNAcentral describes it as "long non-coding RNA (FVES_LNC003254)". The record is from RNAcentral. Lineage: Eukaryota; Viridiplantae; Streptophyta; Magnoliopsida; Rosales; Rosaceae.